RNAcentral lists this long non-coding RNA (44479 nucleotides) under Gossypium barbadense (sea-island cotton). RNAcentral's name for it is "long non-coding RNA (GBAR_LNC012156)". The stretch from base 10049 to 10170 matches the Rfam family "MIR7504 microRNA precursor family". The record is from RNAcentral. Lineage: Eukaryota; Viridiplantae; Streptophyta; Magnoliopsida; Malvales; Malvaceae.
GUUCCAGCAGGGCCUGGUGAAGAAGCGCCGAGGCUGGGAGUAGGGGCCUCAUUUGAUGGAGACGGUGGGCUGGAGGCCGAAGGUGAUAGUGCUGGAGACUUAGCUUUGGUCUUGCUAGGGGCCGGAGCUGGAACCGUGGCAGGAGGAGAAGCCAAAGGAGCUGGUGGUGGGGUAGCUGGAGGAGGAGUAGCAGGAGGGGGAGAAGCAGGUGGUGGGGUAGCCGGAGGUGGAGAAGCCGGUGGGGGAGUUGCGGGAGGUGGAGUAGCCGGGGGAGGAGAAGCUGGUGGUGGGGAGCUAACGGGCGGGGGAGUCGCUGGAGGAGGAGUGGAAACUGGUGGUGGUGAUGAAGUAGGAGGAGGAGAGGAAGCUGGUGGCGGAGAAGUAGUUGUGGGUGUUGGAGGUGGUUGAGUAGUAGGUGGAGGUGUGGAAGCGGGUGGAGUCGGCGGCGCCGGCGUGGAUGUCGGAGGAUUACUAGGAGUAGGAGGAGCUUGGCCUAAAACGCCAGCUACAGCAAUGCAAAACAAAGCUGAUAAGAACAAAAACUUAUUAUUAAGCAUCAUAUUGGAAACAAUGGUGACCCUUUAAUCCUGCACACCCUCUCCGCUUAAACUACGCCCAGCCGUGCAAGCAAAUGAGGGAGAAGAAGAGGCAAGUAUGAGAAAUGAAAAGAUGGUGAUAUUUAUAUAUAGGAUAUGGAAAUUUCCAUAUCAUAUUUCAAUUUAAAAUCCCCAAAACAAAUACCAGCAUUUUUAUUUUAUUACUAAUGGGAAAAUUGCAUUACUAAUCAUAUACAAUAUUCUAUAUUAAUUUAGUGUAAUUUAAUUCUUUCAUUUUUUUAUAAUGUUAUUAAUAGGUCCAAAAUCAAUAUCUCCGAUCGUUAGUUGCUGUCAUUAAAGUGAUGAUACGAAAUUAUUUUUUUUACUAUUAUUCCAUCAUACAAUCAGAGAUAUAGAAAUCAAUCAAUUUUGUUAAACAAAUAAUAAAUUUCAAUCUGAGUCAAAUGCUUAAAGUUGUUAAAAAAAAUUCACGUCAUCACUUUAACAACAUCAACUAAUAGCGUUAUCAAUUUGUACUUUGUAGCUACCAAUAACAUUAUAAAAAUAAAGGGUCAAAUUAUAUAGAAGUAAAGGAUUAAAUCUCUAAUUUCAAUUUAGUAAAGGGACUAAAAUGGAAUUAAACCUAUUAGUGGGGGUCGGAGUUUUUUCCUCGUUUGGUGAGGUAAAAAAAAAAAAAAACCCUAGUGGGGCAUAGUUAUAAUGUCACUUUGAUGAUUAUAAAUGAUGCGUUAGUUAGUCAUACUUUAGGUAAAAAACUGUGAGGUGGGAUUAGUGUAGAUUGAAAAUUUUUAGUGAAGGGGUUAAUUUAUACCUUCAAAAUUUUGCAAUAUUUGGUAGUUCCAUGAAAUAUUCCCCGCUAUUUAUCAACUUUUCAAUCACUCAAAUAGGUUUUAAUUUAGUUUUGUUGUGAAAUUUCUAAUUCAAGCAUACAAUGAGUAGAUUUUAUUAUGGGUCGGGUCGGGUUAUUAUAAAAUUUUAGGUGUAACGUCCCGAAUUUUUGGGCCUAGAAGUUAAAAGAUUUAAGCAUAGGGGCAGUAAGGAGGCCACACAUAAGUGAUUAGUUGUGCACUAUAGUGAUAAGAAUGGGCUUAUUAGUCUAGUGGUUAAAUGGAGUGUUAAUUAAGUUCAAGGUUUUUGGUUUGAGUCACUAUGUGUACAUUUUGGGAGUCUUUUUAUUUUGUUUUUUUUUAGUUAGUGAUAAUAAUUAAUUAUUUUAUUUUAUUUUUAUUAUUUUUCUUUUCUUUUCCACGUUAGUUCUCUCUACUUCUUGGUUUUUUUUUCUUUUUGUUCUUUUUCCUUGGACUUUCAAUUUGUGCAUUCUCUAUGUUUUUGAAUCGUUUGCUUACAGAUUUCGAAUUGUCGCACCUCUAUCGUCUUCUUCGUCGUUCAAUCAGGUGAGGGAUUCAAACUUUAACUACAUUGUUUAAUUUUGCAAAGUUUACGUGCGGCUUUUCUUGAAUAUGUGAUAACCCGAAGGUUUUUGGGUUUUGAUCGUUGGAAGUGAGGAAAAUACGUUAUAUUGUGAUAUGUUCUUGAUGUGGUUAAGGUUAGGGACAGUUUGGGUGGCUAAAACGGUGUUUUCGGGGCUAAUUUGGGGUGGUUUCAUGACCUCUCCGGCAGCUACACGGGCGUGUGCCGUGGUAGACAGUCAUAUGGAUUUGGGAACUAGGGUUUCCAGGCCAAAUUGGAUGCCACACGGCCGUGUGGCCGAUUUGGGGAUUUUGUCGAAAUUCACACGGCUGUGUCCCCUAGGCACAUGGGCAUGUGGGUUUGGAAUUAGGGUUUCAGAGAUUUGAAGUCACACAGCCUGGCCAUACGGCUGUGUGGCUGAUUUUGGGAUUUAGGGAUCCCACACGAGUGUGUGUUUCGUAACACACAACCAUGUCUAGUUGGCACACGGGCAUGUGAGACCCUCACAUAGCCGUGUCUGCCCUGCACCUUAUUUUAGCGAAAUUGGACAGUGAGUUACACAGCCUGUUCACACAGUCGUGUCUCUGCUUCGCACGGGCGUGUGCCUAUGUCACAUGGCCGUGUGCUAUCCUUCACAAGGGCGUUUGAAGCCUCACACGAUCUGGAUUGCUCUACACGGCUGAAGCAUACGGGUGUGUAGCCCUAUCUCGCCAAAUAAUGAUUUUAGGUCAAAUUUAAGUGCAAUCGUGACUCUAUGUAUUCCAACCCUCGACUGAGCUCUAGUGAGGGUAUUUACGACGCUGAUCUGAGUUUGGAUAAUGUGUUAAUUGUGAUUGGUUAUGUGACAUGUUUGAUUCUGAACCCGGGUUAGCUGGGUGAGUGUGUAUGCAACUAGUUCUGUCUGACUGUUUGAAUACGUGUCAUUGAUAUGCGAGCUUAUUUUGCAAUUGCUACUGAAUUCAAGUUACGAGUAUACUUAAGACUAAUUUUGUAACUAACUGAUUGGAUGUGAGCGUCUACUUCUGAAUAAUUGUUUGAGACUAGUAUUCUGAUUGUGUACAUCUGACUGCAUACAUACAUACAUAUGCAUAAACUAUUUUGGGCGGGAUUUUUGAAGAGAAGGUGUUGUAGGCCAAUUUUGGGCCCGUUUACACUUUAGGCCGAACAUACAUCAAACCCAUUUACAAUUAAACCCCAGCAUAACCCACAACCCAAACCCAACAAAUAAACCCAAAACCAAACCCAAAUUUAACCCAAUUCAAAUCCCAUAGACCCAAACCCACAUGUAAGCCCAAGUUGUUAGACCCAACUAGCUUGAUUUAGGGUUUCAAAAAAACUGAAACCCUAACCUACCCCCAGCGCCGCCAACGUCACAUCGCCCAUGCCAGUCCACUUGCACUACCUUUGCUCCACUGUUCAACCACCACCUGCAAAACAAAAGAGCACGCAACAGCAGCGCAAAAAUAGGAAAUAGACAGUGUAUGAACAACAAAAUCGGCUAUAAAGCCGAAUGGAAACCAAUGUAAUAGAAAAUAUUUUCGGUUAUUUUCUUCAUCAAUACAAAAAAAUAGAUUUAAACAUAUACAAGCAAUAAUUCGGGGAAAAUCAAAACACUAGAAUAACACCAAUUGGGCAACCAAAACAUCAAUAUCAAAAGCCUAAGGUGAUUUAAAUCUUUUUAUUUUUAUUUAUUUUUGAAUCAUACAUACCUAUGUAUUUUCAUAAAUAGUAUAAUAAAAAGGAAAAUAAAAGAAUAAAAAAAAGAUAGGAAAUUUUUACCUUUUCCGGCCACCGUGCGACGGUGGCACACGGCGGUCCGGCAACCAGACGUGGACGGCGACCGGCCUUGUGGCCGGAAUUCGCCUCUCCUUCUCCCCUCUCUCUUUUUUUUCUUUGCUAUGCAGAAAAUGAAUUUUUUUUGAAGAUUUUGGCCUUUUUAUAGCUUCCUAAAACGACGUCGUUUUGGGGGUUGCCCUUUAACCUCAAAACGACGUCGUUUUGCCCUGGAUCAGGUCGACCCGACCCUACCCACUCAGGAUCUGAGUGUUUUUGCUCUUAGGGGCUAAUUGCGCACGCGGUCCUUCCGCUUUUUCUAUGUUUUUCAAUCAGGUUUUUUAUGUAUUUUAAUUUGGCCCUAUAAUUAGUUGCGCUUUCCAAUUUGGUCCUCAAUGCUAUUGCGCAUUUUGGGUGGAGAGGCUUAUUUCGUUUUAAGUCCCUCCACUAUUUGUGCGCGUUGAAAUAGGUCCCCUUCCCUUCUUUUUAUUUCAGUUUUUGCCCCAAGCCUUUUAUUUUUAAUUCGAUUCGAUCCUUUUUUUAAUUACUUUAUUAUUAAAAUUAAUUAUUUUAGUAUUAUUGUUAUUAGCACUAUUCAUGUACAUAUAUAUUAUCAUUAUUGUUACUAUUACUAUUAUUAAUCUUCAUAUUAUUACUAUUAUUUCUUUAUUUUUAUAUUAUAUUAUAUUAUAUUAUUAGUUUUUACUAUUAUUAGUAUUAGUUUUAGCUUCAAUUAAUAUUUUUAACAUGCAUAUUUAUAUACUUUUAUGUAACAUUAUUAAUAAUUAUUUUUUAAAAUAUUAUUAUUAUUUUUUAAUACAUGCAUAUAUAUUAUGUGUAUAUUCUUUUAAUAGACAUUAUGUAUAUAUAAUUUUAUAUAUUAUUUUUAACUUUACAUUAUGUAUAUAUUGUUAAUAUCAUAUUAUUCAUAUAUUCUAUUAUAUUAUAUAACUAUAUUAUGUAUGUAUUUUUAACACUAUAUUACGUACAUACUUUCAAUAUCAUUAUUAUUAUGUAUAUAUAUUUUUAAUAUAUAUAUGUGUAUAUUUAUGUAGUAUUAUUAAUAGUUGUUUUUAAUAUUAUGAUUAUUUCUAGUAUAUAUAUAUUAUGUAUAUACUUCUAAUACUAUAUAUUGUAUAUUUCUAAUACCAUUAUUAUUUAUAUGUGUAUAUGUGUAUGUAUUUAUGUAUCGUAUUAUAGUUGUUGUUUUUUUUGUAUCAUUAUUGUUGCUAAUAUAUAUAUAUCAUGUAUAUAUGAUUUUUUUUAUAUAUAUUAUGUAUAUAUCUUUAAUAUUAUAUUAUUUAUAUAUUUAUGCUUACAUAUUAUCUUACGUAUAUAUUUUUAAUAACUAUAUUAUGUAUAUACUAUUACUAUAUAUCUAUUUAUGUUGCAUUAUCAAUGGUUGUUUUUACUAUUAUUAUUAUUCUUAAUAUAUAUAUUAUGUAUACAUUUUUAAAUACUAUAUUAUAUACAUAUAUUUUUAAUACCAUAUAUGUACAUAUCAUUAUUAUAUCUAUUUUUACCCCUAUUACAUUUGUUAUUAAUAUUAGUAUAUAUUUUAUUAUACGUGUAUAUAUAUACUUUUUAAUAUAGUAUUAUUUUUAUAUAUCAUUAUAUUUAUUAUUAUACUUAUUAUUUUCGCUAUUGUUACUUAUUAUUUUAUUUUAAUAUUAUUGUGUAUUAUUUGGUAUACAUAUAUCUUUUUGUACAUAUUGUUAUUUUUUAUUAUACGUAUAUUAGUUUAUUAUGGUAUUAAUACAUUUUUACCUUUUUCUUUUAUUGUAAAUAUUAUUUAUUAUUACUCUAAUAUCCUAAUAUUAUAUUAUAAUACUUUUUAUUAAUCAUCUCAUUAUUUUGCAUCGUUUAUUUACUUAUGAAUUUUUGUUAACAUCAUCAGUUUUUUUUUAUCAUUAUUUUAGAAACAUUUUUAUUUUAAUAAAUAAUGCAACGUACCGAUUUUAACAUUAAGUUUGUGAUUUCAUCGCUAUGUUGGGUGAAUCACGUUGGCUCGUGUUAAAAACGGGACAUCCUUCAAAAAAACCAAAAACUUGAAAUUUCUCGUGUCUUGGUCGGAUCAUGAUUAAAUAUUAAAUUAAACUUGUAUUUUUGAAAAUUAAGACAACGCGUAAUUAACAAGAUACUAAUUUUGGGCGUCGUGAGGGUGCUAAUACCUUCCUCGCGUGUAACCGACUCCCGAACUCUAUUUUCCUCUGGAUUUUCACGUAGACCCAAAUUCGGCCUUCAUUUUUGUUCAAGAAUAAAUUUUCUUUUCUAAAAAGAAGAUUUAUUAGGUGUCUGAUCACACCUAGAAAAAAGAUCGGUGGCGACUCCUUUUCUUUUUAAAACCGAAAUUCCAUUUUCAAAUAAUCGCCUCAACUAGCGACCGGAAAGUGAAAUUUUUACGUUGCUACAGAAGGAAGAUUGACUGAACUGAACUGAUAGCUAAUAUGUUGCCCCUAAUACCCAGAGGGUCAUGGGCGGUCCCAAUACCCUGAGGAUCGUGGUUAAUUUGACUGUACUGCGGACUAUCGCACUGUACUGUACAGAACAUACAUCAGCACCGCUGCUAUCAUUGACUAAACUGGCAAUUUUACUGCAACCUAACGAUAUAGCGGUCUACCGCAUUGCAUUGUACCGCAUGUACGUUAGCUACGCUACGUACUAUUAUCUGAUCUGGCAGUUCAUACUGCAUGUCUGUACCGCGGUUCACCGCAUUGCACAGUACAACCUAUACGCUGGCUUUCCUACGUAAUUUACGUGACUAGCAGUUUAUCUGCAUACUGUUAGCCCAAAUUCCCAGAGGGUCGAUGGCAAUCCCAAUACCCUGAGGGUCAUGGACAAUGCUGAUGAUCAUCGUUGUCGGGUAACCCGGGAUGACAUCAUAUGGGGUGUAGGGUUGGAUGGGCUUUGCGAGGUCCUGUAUGGAGUGUUUGGUGGGACAAGCUUAAAGCUUUUAUGAGAAGUGAUGGGGGACGGAGAGGUGUGUUGGCUGGAUAGGUGGAUAUUUUUAGAACUCAUUUGUACUCAUAUGUAUCUGAUUGAUCUGUUUAACUGAAUUGGAACUUGUGAAUGGUUGAGAAUUAUUGCUACUGUGACUGAAUGUGAUACUGUUCGAUUGAGAGGCACUUGUGCCUAUGUGAAUUUUGUAGAUUCUGAUUGCGACUGUCUGACUGGAUUCUUACUGUGACUGAUUAAGAUUUGUUGCUACUCUGUCUGAGUGGUACUUGUGGCUGAGUGUAUCUAACUGAUUGAGUUAAAACUAGUGGCAGAAUAGCACUAUGUUUGUGUAGCUGAGUGUAAUUUUUAAUAUGCAUUAACAAAUAUCUGUCUGUCGGUACGUCCGUUUCGAACGUACCCUUUGGUUCUGAAUAGCUCUGUAAGUAUGUUUUAUUUCUGAACUGCUUUUAGUUCCCUGUUUCUGUCUCUGUAGUUUAACUGGUUUGAUCUCAAACUGAGCUCGAGUAGCUCACCCCCUCUUUCGUUUCCCUUUUCAGGUACAAUUCUGGAUUAUGUUGAUGGACUUGGCACGCGAAGGUCUCAGACAGUCUCGCAAACAAAUAAAUUAUCAGUUUUGUUUUCCGUUACGAUUUUGUUAUUUGGUUAACUUUGAACUGUAAGGCUUUAUAAUACUGUGGUACAGUUUCCAUUUUAGAUUUUCAUGCAUACGUUUAUUUUGGGUUUUAUAUUGAGUCUUACUGUAAAUUUUAUUGACUGAUUAUUAAAUGGUUUUAAACACUUUUGGUUCACUGAGAUGAGUUAUUUUGUAAAAUUUUCCUACGAUCACUUCGGUGAUCAAUGUAGCAUUCCGAAUUCGGUCUAGACUUUUAGGCCGAGUUUGAGGUGUUACAUUAGGUUUAUUUUUUAGGUUCUAAUUUGACUCGAAAAAUAGGUCUAAAAUUUUAACUAAACCCAGUUUAGAUAAAAAUAUUAAACCCAAGUCCAAACGUAUUAAACUUUUUAUAUUAUUAUUUAUAAAAAAACAAAUUUAAAAAAUAUAAUACAUCAAAUACACUAAAAAUAUUAAAAUAGAUGUUUCCUAAUAAAUUGAAAAUACAUUAAAAAAGUUUUUAUACUUAACAAGCAAAUGCCUUUAAAAUAGUAGCAAAAUUAACAAGCCCAUGAUUAGGUCUAAUGAUGAGUUCUUUUGUUAGUAAUGUUUAUUUUGGUAUUUGAGUUUUUUCUGUCUUAAUUUGGUACUUAAUUUUGACUUUAAUUUUUUUCCAAUUAAGCACUUAAGUUUGGCUUCAAUGUUCAAUUUGGUACCUAAUUUUUUUUGUCCAAAUUAAUUACCUAUAUAUUUUUUACCAAAGCAUGUGUGUCAAACAUUUAUUGGAUCAUAUGAUGACAUUUGGCUUAGGUAUCAAAUUGAAUAUCAAAUUCAAACCUAAGUACUAAAUUGAAACAAAAAACACAAAUACUAACUUAAGUAUUAAAGCUAAACUCAAGUAUCAAAUUGUAUAUUAAUCAUUGGUAAACAAAAUUUCAAGGAUUAGCAUCUACUAAGCUUUCAUUUUCCCUUUUGCAUGUUACAAUUGAUAUUUGUUUAACGCAUAAACUUGGUAUCUUUUUUCCCGUAAUGAUCCAUUUUCAACAAUUUUUGUACACCUAUAUUAAAAUCUGAAAUAAUUUGGUUAUCUUCAACAUACAUAAAGCUGUUAUAUUAAAGUUUAUUUAUAGUUGAGAUUUUUAAAGGAUUUUUAUAAGAUAUUUUUUACACAUUCUUUCCAUGACAUUAAGGAGUAGGGAAGAAAACGUGGUAGUGUUAAAAGGAUCAGUUCAUCUAAACAAGCGGAAAGUCAAAAUAAGAAACAAAUUAAGGAGGAGUAGGGGACUCACACAUCCAUAACAUAUGCAUAUGUUAAUAUUAAAAAUUUACACAACGCAAUUGUAAAUGGUGAGACUUGGACUUCGAUACUUAAAGACCCAAGAUAUCGCCUUAACCAAUAAUGUCAACAAGAUCUCAUUAACUUUUUAGGAAUUUUCUUAACUUCACAUAUAGGGAUUAAAAAAUUACGAUAUAACUCAAUAUAAUAUUAAAGAGUAAAAGUUAAUCAAAAUUUACAUAUAUCACUCAUUUAAUCAUAUGUGUACAGAUAAAAGGAAGCCACUCAUCCUCUUGCCAACCCUACGUGUAACAUAAUUCACUAUAAAUUCCACCUACAUAUACAUACAUACAUAAAUAUAAAAGAGAAUUUCAUGGUCUUGGACUAGAUUGGCUACAAAAUUUGACAAACGGCAUGUGUAGGAGGAUUAAAUUCGAUGAAUUGCAUGAGAGUUUCUCCUUUUUGAUAAUUUAGUACAUGAGAGAAUAAUGAUGAUUGUGGGGGGGGGGGGGUGCUCCAUCGAAAUAGCUGGAAUUUAUUUAUUUUAGUGAACUGGCAAAUGUAAUUUGUACGCCAAGUUAUAAGGUGAAAAAGGGAGAAAUCAUAUAGAUUUGGUUGGUAAUGGUAUGUUGAUGUUGGAACACCUGCGGUGCACCGCCACAAUUAGUAGGCCCCUAGCCCCGCUGUCACCCCAUCAUAUGUGCUUUUGGAUGGAUCCAACAUUUUCGUGUUCUUUCAUUCUUCAACAUCAUCAUUAUUAAUUAGUUACUCUUCAAUUUCUAUAUGUAAUUUGCUUUCUUUUCAUUCAUAGGUUUUCUGUUUUCUGUCUUUGAUUUUGUCUUGUGCACAACUGAUGUCCUCCAUUUUUUUCCCCUUUUGUAGAAUUGGGUUUGUCACUUUAAUAGUGCCCGAAAUUAUUUUAUGGAUUUUUUUCAUCAUAUCAUUUAUAAUCUAUUUUUAGUUAUUUAAUGAUAUUUUAGUAAUUUUUUUAUGUUAUUGACACAUAAUUUUACUAAUUUUUUUACCCAGAACCCUCAAUCUUGAGUUUAGAAUCUUGAACCCCGAACCUUGAACCCUAAACUCAAACAUUAAACUCCAAACCUAAACCUUAAAUCUUGAAACCCUCAAGGUUUAGGUUUGAGGUUUAAGUUCAAAUUCAAGUUUGUAGUUCAGGGUUCGAGGUUUGAAAUUUAAGGUUCGGGUUCAGGGUCAGAGUUCAACAUUCAGGAUUCUAGGUUUGGGGUUUAAGAUAAAAAAAAAUUACCAAAAUUAUAUGUCAAUGACAUGAAAAAAAAAUUACUGAAAUGUCAUUAAAUAAUUAGAAAGGGACCAUGGAUGAUGUGGUGGGAAUGGUCCAAAAAUAAUUUCUCAUUUGUAUGGGAUAUUAUUCAUUAUCUAUUAUAAUUUGAUAUCUCUAUUUUUAUAAUAUUAUUAGGGGAAAGGAUUGUAUGAAACAGUGACGCCAUGUCAUCUGUAUCCCUUUCCAAUAAUUUUAUGCCAUAUCAUUACUUUUAUCCUCAAUUUCAGGAUUUUAUCCUGAAAAAAAUCAAAUCCAAAUUAAAAUCCUGAAAUUCAGGAUAAGAAUAUUGAUGUGGCAUAAAACUAUUGGAAAGGGAUACAGAUGACGUGGCGUCACUGUUUCAUACAAUCCUUUCUCUGUCCAAAUUUAUAACAAUGUUGAUUGCUUCACUAAAAUGAGAAGGUCCAAAAGAGUUAGAAGAUGUUAUUGAGAUUAAUAAAGGAGUAAUUUAUUUCGAGAUAGAUUAAUAUAAUUUAUUUGUGUUUUUUAUUUAAAAAAAAAAGUAAAAGGACGUAGUAAAGGAAUUUUCAUGCAUCAAUAAUUUAUUAUUUAAACUAUGAAAUUUCAAAAAAGAAGAAAUUCAUGUUGAAAUUGAUACUAUCAAGCAAUUUAAAAGUGUAAAAAUUUCAGUAUCAGCUGGAUAUUUAAUGUCAAAUAAACUAAAGAAAUGAGAAACACAAGCCAAUUGUCCACAAUGAUUAACUUGUUCCUAAAAAGAAAGUUGUACAUAGACUUUGCUUAUAAAUCAAUCCAAUUUUUUUUUAUAUAAAAGGAAACAUAUUACAUACUUAUAUUGAGUUAUUUGUACCACAACCCACUUAAAUUAUGAUUUUAAUUUUCGAUUGAGUCUUAGUUCAAUUGAUAUUGGCAUUAUUAUCUGUGGAGGAGUGGAUUCAAGUGCGCUGAAACGCAUUAUCCUUCUAUUUAAAUGUUGGGAAGGAACUAUAGAUUCGAAAGCAGAUAUGAUAAGAACCUAUAAUAAAAUUAAUGUAAUGCCUCCUUUUUCCUUUAAAUCCUACUUAAAACACACUUACUUAUUAUUUGCUAAAAUAUUGACAAAUCUAUAAUUUGAAUUCGAACAUUUAUAAUUCAAUCUUGGUCCCUUUAAUACAAAAAAUGUUGGCUUCACCCUUGAUCAAUUUAGUCAUCAAGUUUUUUUUUUUUAACAUAAAUUUCAAUAUAGAUUCUUAUCAUAUUAGCUCUUUUUGAUACAAUGCUUAUAACUAUCCAUAGCCCUUCCCCAAUCAUUAAAUAGUAGGAUAAUACACUUUAACGUAUUCGAAUCCACAUCCUCUUCUACUGACAACAAUGUCAAUCAAUACAAUUUUAAAUACGAGUGUACUACUUAGAUAAUCAUAUCCAAGGUACACAUACUUUUAAAAUUUGAUCCACACACUUUAAAUAUACCCCACCUCUGAUCUAAUCUAGCAUUUAUCACCUAAGCUGACGGUUAGAGGAACAAAAGAACUUGAUUGAUAUAAUAUCAAUAUUUUAUAGACUCAAUCGUACCAUAAUUAUGGACGUUUUCGCUGAGUUAACUCUAUAUCUAAAUAAGUCAUGGUAAACAUUCAAUAUUAAAAAAGAUAAAGGGAAAGUAUAAUAACCCAAAACACCAAAUUUUGGUUGGUUUAAUUUGCAGCUUUAACCAAUGCUUUUGCAUGAUCCAUCAAUUAGUGAGGAUUUUGAUCUUAAUUGGAGGGUCCCAUUCGGUUAUUAAGCUCUUUUUCCACCCUCAUGAUUGCCAUAACAUGGGCCCUUACCGUUUUACUUUGGAUACCCUUUUAUCUUUGCUUUGCUUUGCUUUGAUUUAAGGUUUUAUACAUAAAUGGUCACUUAAACUAUACCUCAAUUUUUAGAUUUGUCCUUAAAGUUUUUUUUUUAUCAAGAGUGGCCCCCACACUAUCAAAUUUAUCUCAUUUUACCCAAAAAGCGUACAAUAUCCAAUAAAAAUAUUUAAAAUGUGACGCGUGUCACAUUCUUAUUGGUUAAUAUCAUUUUUUGAAUAAACAAAAAUAAAAUUAACAGUUUAGCGAUCACUUUGACCAAAUAAAAAAGUUUUAAGGACUACUUUAGGAAUUUAGAUAUAACUUAAGAGUUAUUUUAUUAAUAAAGCUUUGAUUUAUUCAUCAAUUAACACUGAAAGAGUUUUCCUUAAUUUACUCAAAUGGUCUUUUUGUUUGUAUCACCUAACAUUUUGAAGAACAUCCUUUCUCUGUGUACCUCAUACAAUUCGUUAAUACGAAAAUUUUAUGAUUUUUUUAAAAAUAAAUUUAAUUGUCACGUUGCAGGUUACAAAUACUUUUAAAUAAGGGCUUUUUUCAUACAAGAAUACCAAUUAAAAAAUAUCUUCAAAGGUAUAUCAGUUAUACUCAGAUCAAAAUGUUUAAACUUAAUUUAUCUAAUUUCUUCGGCAGGGACCUAACCCAAAAUUGGUAAAAUUAAAAUUAGAUCUUUAUAAUUUUGAAGCAUUAAAAUUGAAUUUUUUUUAAAUUGUAAAAUUAUAAAUUUAGCCCCUAAAAAAAUUAUAAUUCAACUUCAGCCUCUAAAAUUUUUUCCUCUAACUUCAUCUCCCCAUAAUUCAAUAUAUUUAAAAAAAUUUGUGACUGACAUUACCAACAAAAAAUAUAUUUAUAAUUAGUAUUUAAUAUACAAUUAAUGAAAUGUUUUAAUUCUAUAAGCAAUGUUCAAAAUUUUCAUAUAUCUCAAUUUUUAAUAUUUUUUUUAUUAAAUCAUGAAUGAAAUAUAUAUUACCUUUCAGAUUUUACUUGUAGAGUCUAAUAACUAUAUGACGCAUUAAAUCAUUAUACAUAUAUAAGGUCAAGUGGUCCAUAGGUAGCUUAGAGUACAAGGGAUUAAGUUGAGGGUCUCUUAUCAUUUUCCCCAAAUGUGAAGUGAUGUUAACUGCUUAGCUUUCUCCUCUUGCCCCAUUCAUUUUCCUUCCUUUCCACAAUAUAUAUUGUAUAAGUAUUUAUGGGUAAUCGAUUGAGUAUUUACUCGAUUAAUAUGAGUAUUAAUGUCAAUAGAGGAGGACGUAGAUUUGGCGCAUUAUUCUUCUAAUCAUGGGUUGAGAGGCUAUGAGUAGUUUUAAAUAUUAUGUCCAAAAAAAACAGAUAUGAUUAGAACCUAUAAUAAGAUUAUUUAAAAAAAUAUUUAUGGGUAAUCAGUUUAUACAAUUUCGAUUAAAUGUAUAAAUCCAAUCAUUAAUCAUUAAAUUGUUUUACUUUAUGCCAUAGUAUUGUUUUAACUGCAUAAGCAUGUGGGUUAAUGAAAACUACUUAUAGUAUCUCAAUUAAAUGUAAUCAACAACCUCAACUCAUAUCUCCCAUCUCUCUCACUCUCAAUUAUAUAACCUAUUAAUAAUUAACAUUAAUAACCCACUUUCAAGUAGAUCUCAGGCUACCUGCCAUGCCAAGCCUAAAGCUUAUAAGAUGCUUGAAAAGGUUUGCACAAAUAUACAAGAAUAAGUAGGAUAAUGGUUUGGGCAAAAAUUAAGCUUAAUUAUUUAAAUUAUAGAUUAAAUUUAUCGAUAAAUCAUGUUAAGCGUAAUGAUAAGAUAUAUUAUACUCUUAAGAAAAGAAUGUAGAUUCAAAUACUAGAAACGAUAUUGUUAGGAAAAGUAAUCACAAAUCUCAAACAUGAAUCAUAAAAUAAACAUAUAAAAUACUAAAAAAAAUCGAAUUUAAACUCAUUUAAAAUUGUUGAAACAUGGAUAAUUUAACUCAAUAUUGCAACAGGAAUUUCGAUAUAGUUUCUAUAAAAUUUAGUGUUACAAUAUGAUUUCCCAUAGAAGUGUGAUAAAAUCAAUAAUGUUGACUUGUAUUAUUGCAUUAAGUAGUGCAUGAAAUGUAGGAUUCUAUUGUAAAAGAGAAUUAGAUAAAAUUGUAUAAAGUGCAUACUAAAAACUGUUUUGGAGGCUUUAAAGAAUUCUAUUCGCUUAAAAGGUAAGAGUCUACUUCAUCAGCUAAGGUUUACAAUGUAGGGUAAGUGUUCAAUCGAAUUAAGUGAAAAAAUUUUGAGUUUAUCGAGUUGAUGAGUCCUAUUUUAUCAUACUAACUUGAUUUGAAAUUUUCUCGAAUCGAGUCGAGUAAAAUGAAAUUCAAGCCAAAUCAAAUCAAGUGAAAUUAUUUGAGUUAAAUUAAAAAAUUAAACAUGUCAAAUUAAAAUCUUGUUAUAGUAUAACUAAUUUUAUGUUAGAGCACAUAAAUUUGAAAUCACAUAUAUUUGAAAACUUUUUCAAAGUAAAAUAAGAAAAAAAAUAAUUUAAUAUAAUAAACUUAAAUUAUUAAUUAACUUUUAUUUAAGUCCCCAAAAUUAUUAUUUUAAAAAAAAUUAAAUUUUUAACUUUCUUUAUAUACUUUAUAAUUUUUUUAAAAAAAUAUAAAAUUUGGAAUUUUUAUAAAUAUUUUGAAUUUUAAAAAUUAUUAUGAAAAUUUUGAAAUUUAUUUUGUAUUUUUUGUUGAAAGAGAUCAAUUUGCUUUUUUUUUUAAAAUUAAUAGGGACCAAAAGGGGUAUUUAUACCAAUCUAUUAUUCGAGUUAUUCGAAUUGUAAAAUUCAACUUGACUUGAACUCAGAACUCGAAUUACUUAUUCGAUUUAAUUCGAAAAAAUUGAAUAAGAUUCAAUUAACUUAGAAUUCGAUUUUUAUUUUAUUUUUUUGAUCAAAUCGAGUUUUGUUCACCCCUAAUAACUUGUUAGCAACUUAUGCAAGAAUUUUUUAAUUUUAAAAUAAAAGCUAAUAAGAUUAUUUUAUCUUGAUAUUAAAUGCUAUUUAUACAACAUAUAAAAGAUGGUGGAUACACACAGUUGGGGUAGACUUUUUGAGUGUUUCAUUUUUCGGGUUGAGGGAAUAUUUUGCAAGGUAAAUACACCUUGAUACCCUAGGUAUUAUUUGGAGAAUUUUAUUCACUUGUAUGCAAAGAUGUUUGCAAUAUGUGAUAAUAUUUUGGGAGAUUGGAUGCAAACAAUUGCAUACUAGUGAAACUACUUUUUAUCUACAUUUUGCAAGAUAGAUACAUUAUAAUUAGAGGUGUCCAUAAGUCGGAUUGGAUCCAAUCAAAAUUUUAUACCCAUUUGUCAGGCUAAAAAUAUUAAAAUUCGAGUCCCAUCUGGCCCGUUCGUAUUAAUUUUUUUAUAUAAUUUUUUAAAAUAUAUAUAAUACAUCAACAAUACUAAAAACAUUAAAAUAAAUGUUAAAAACAUUAAAAUAAAUGUUCCCCAACAAAUUGAAAAUAAAUUUACAAAUUGAUUAAUAAAUUUUAAAAAAAUAUGUAUACUUAAAUAACACUAAGAUAUGUAUAACUUAACAAGCAAAUACCUCUAGAAUAGUAACAAAAUUAAAAAUAAAACAACAGUAAUACAAUAUCCAAAUAAUAACAAUAAAAUAGUAGCAAUAUAAUUGUGAAAUGGUAGCAAAAUAAUGAAAAAGAAGAAGAAAAAAAAGAAAAAAAUUACAAUUCUUUUAUUUUGCAUAUUCGGGUCGGCUAUUUUCUAAACGGACCUUAUUUUUCAGCCAAAAAAGUCUUACCUGAGGCUCAACCCGUUUUCUAAACAAGCCUUAUUUUUUUGCCUAAACACAUUUUUCGGGCCUAUAUUUUUAUCCAAACCCUCCCACUUUUCAGGUCGGGCCACAUGUACAGGUUUAACCAUGAUAUAUUAGGUAUUAUUAUAAACUACUAAAUACUAAAUAAAAAAUAACAUUUAAAAUUAAAAAAAUGAAAAGAAAAAAAAACUUAAAUGAAUAUAUACAAUGUAACAAGGUACAUAAACCUACAUUGUGACAAGUGUCGCAACUUUAUUUUUUUAUUUAAUUUCUAUAUUGUUUAUCUAUUAAAUAAAAUUAAAAUAAUUUAAACACAAUUUUAUCUUAAUGUAUUACAAAAUUUAAUUAAAAUAAAUGAAAAUUGUUAUUUGGAAUAUAUGGAUUUUAAAAAUAAUAAUAAUUUUCAUUUAAAUAAAUUUUACAAAUAAUAUAUAAUGCUGAUUAUAUAGUUUUAAAUAAUAUUUUAAUAUAUGAAUUGUUAUCUACAUAUUUAUUUAAAUAUAUUACAAGAAUUAAAACUAUUUAAUAACAUAUUCAUCAUAAAAUAAAACGAGAAUUAUAAAUUAUUAUUAUUAUUAUUUUAAAAUAUUUAUUUAAAUAAAACUAUAUGAGCAUAGGUUGUAACAUUCUACAUAUUUAUAUAGGUAAACCAUCAUGAUAAAAACUAUUAUCAUAAAAUUUUGCACUUUUUAUUAUAUGAUAUGUAUAAAAUAGUUCAAUUAGAUAUGAUUAAUAAUAAUAUUUAUGCUCAUAAAAUUAUCAAAUUAUAUAUUACAAUGUAUUUAUAAUGGCUCAAAUAUUAAAUAAUGGUUUACGGGUUGUAAUAUAUAAUAGUUCAAACAUAUUAUAAAUUUGAAAUAUAAUAUAUAUUAUAUUGAAUUAUUAUUAAUAGUAGAUAAUACUGUUAUAAUAAUUUAUAGUAGUAAAAGUAAAGGGUGAGCUAACAAUUCAGUGUGUAACUCAAUCCAAACAAUCAGCACAAAUACAGAUACAGUAACAAAGAUGAAUAUAGAUACAGAUAUAAAUCCUACUUCAUCCACUACACACCAUAUUUGUUCAUCCCUAGACAUCAAUUAGAGUAUUAAAUACUCAUGCAACCUUACCCACCUAGAAGUGAGCGUAUGUCACUUUUCAGAACAGUGCAAUCAAGCUACCAGAAAUAAUGUAAUAAUCCGCCAGAAUUAGAUAAGUGUGGUCAAGCCAUCAGAACAAAUAUGUGGUUUAAACCACCAGAUAAGACAGAUCAUUAAAUUGUUAACACUUCCUCCAUCAUAUUAUUAUCCCACCUUAAUGCAUAUGCAAACAUUAAUCAGGUAACAAAUGCAUAUAUAUCAUACACGCUAUACGUAUCAGAAUAUACUAUCAUGCUUUUAGAAAUUGCACAAACAGAAUAUUAGAUUUCAUAUCUAUAAGUCAUACAUAACACAUUAUGAAACCUACAAAGUGGCUAAUCUCGAAUCGUACUUUAAAUACGGCCUAACUAAAUUUUAUAGAAAAUGAGCACACAUGCCCAUGUGACCCACACGGUCUGGCACACGGCCUCACACAUACUCAUGUGGCCCACAUGACCCACUUAACUUAGCCCAUGUGGCUCACAUGGUCGUGUGAUUUACACGGUCUGGCACACGGCCAUGUGGUGUCGACAAUGAAUUUUUUGGCUUCGCAUCGUUCAUUGUUUUUCGAGAUUAUCAUUACAGACUUGGUCGUUUUUCGAUACUAACACCACGAAAAAGAUUCCAGAACUUAAAACAACAUUUAACACGAACAAUUUAGCAACGAUACACUAAAUAUAAUCCAUUAAUUCAACCACAACCACUAACAUUAGGCCUUAACAAGCUGGAAAUCAGUCUUUUGGGCAUUCGAUUACUUACCCAGAACAGUAGUGACAGUCCUAAAAAUCUCCUAAUUCACUAGAAGGAUGUCACAUGCCUCACAAACUUCUCCUAUUGAAACAUCAAAACAAUCAAAAAAAUGAAUAUUGCAUAAUACUACAACCCCUAUUCGUCAUACGGAAACGAAUUAACCUUACCGAAGAAUGCACUUACAAGACUUACACUUAAACAAAAAUAUGAAUUCUUUGCUCGAACACGGCGCUACGGUGAUUACAUGCAAGAAAAUCAAUACCACAAGGAUUUAAACAUUGGACCUCUAGGUAAGCUGAAGUUUUACCACUAAAUCAACAAGCUCAUUCUUAUCAUUAAUUUAGCAAAAAUAAUAUAUAAGCUUAAUAUCCAAAGUCGGUGGUUGGGACAAAAAUAACAAAAAUUUAAAUGAAAGAAUUUGAACCUAGAACAUCACACACACUAACACAACACAUAACCAAUAAACUAAAUUAAUCACUUUAACAAUAUUUAACAAUUCAAAAAUAAGAAUUUUGAGACGUUGCUAAAUUGUAUCAUAUAUCAUAUAUCAAACUUACGAUACAUCAUUCAUAAAAAUUAUAACAAACUUACGAAAGGAUUUAAUGAUAUUUAAUUCUUAACGGGUAAAAACUUAUAUCAUAUAUCAUAUAUAUUUAUAUAUUAAGAAUUUGAAUCAUUAAUUAUAUAUCUAUAUAUUAUAAUAGUUUCAUCUUUCAAAUUUUCUUCCUCAUAAUUAAAGCAUAAGUUAUAUUUAUAAUAUCAUAAAUAUAUUAUAUUUCAAAAAUUUACACACAUAAUCAACCUAUACAUCGCUCGUGAUAAGAAAACUAAUUUAUAAAUAUGAAUGUACAAAAUUCGAGCUAAAUCUAGCUUCAAUUUUCCGGUGAACUUCUUUUGACUUUAAAUCUUACUUUUUCUUCUUCUUUUUGGCAAAAUAACUUAUUUGGCACAAAAACAAAAGUCGUUUUAACUUUUUUUUUCACCAUUUUUUAGCAUUUAAACUUGCAUUUUUUUGUUAAAUCACUCCAAAAUGAAUGGAAAAGUUAACAUUUUUAACUUUGCUGAUGUUUCGUACAUGUGGAUAACACAUCAACAUUUAAUAAAUCUUAAAAAAAUUAUAAAAACUAUUUUUAAAAUUUAAAAUAUUAAUAUUAUAAAAAAAUAUAAAUAUUUUUAAAAAUUAAUUAAAUGCUGAUGGGUCAUCUACGUAGCAAUCCAUAUGUAUGUCAUGUCAACAAAGUUAACAAAUAUUAAUAUUUUCAUCCAUUUUAGGAUGAUUUAACAAAAUAUAUAAAUUUAAAGACUAAAGAUGCGAAAAUAAUUAUAAGACCAAAAUGACUUUUUUUUUUAAUUGAAGGACGAAAUAAAUGAUUAUGUAAAGUUGUGAAUAUUAAUAUUACCAUAACAAUCAUAAUUCGCUUAUGGUUUAUUCAUUUUUAGGGUUUUCCUUACUAGGAGUCUAGGAUACUUGAAGGCAGAUAUUAUUAUUAUUAUUAUUAUUAUUAUUAUUAUUAAAUUUAAACAUAUUUUUUUAAUUAAGGAACAAUAAUUUGGUCCGGGUCGGUCCUUGGACAGUAUUGUAAUUUCCCAAGUUAUUAACAUUUGUUUAGGGUUUCUCAUAGUUAAGAAUUAAGUGGGCUAAUUUCCCAACUUAGAUUUGAUGAUACGAUUAAAAAAUAGGAAAUAUCAAAAUAUGAUCAUAUGAAUUAUUAAUACUAGUUUUUUUUUAUCUGAGUAAAUAGAUAAUUACUUGAAUCAAUUUAAUAAAAAUUAAUAUACUAAAAAAUACAAUUCCAUCAUUUUAAUAGUUUAUAUAUUUAUAAUUUUUAAAGAAUUAAAUUAAUAUUUUAUCAUUUUAGGGAGUUAAAAUUUAAUUUUACUAUUAUUAAUUUAAAAUUUUAUAAAUUAUAUGUACAUACCCAAUUUUGCCAAACCCAAAUACAUUUCAAACCCUUACUAACCCAAGUCUGUUUACAAUAUUUUCAGCCCAAUUAGCCUAACCCAAGUACUACUAGCCCAAUACCCUAAAUUAACCUAGCCCAGCAGCCCAAAACAAAUUAGCAGAGAGGAAACCCUAAUUCCACUUGCCUCCUUACUUGCGCCGCACGCUCUUCUGCCCUUGGCUACCACGCCCCACUUUCUUCUGACACCAGCACUGGCCACCUGCUCCACCAUGCCUCUGCCACCGCCGUUCGCCCAUACCCUGCAAAAUGAAACAAAUGCCAAGACAGAAGCAGACAGCACAAGCAGUAACAGAGAAUAAAACAAACAAUACUUUAAUAUGGGAAUCGGCUAUAAAGCCGAAAUGGAAAAUCUGUAAAAGGGGGGAUUUUUGCUAUGAAAACAAAGAUUUUCUUUCAAUUUUAACAGAUUGAAUACAAGAACCAUUCGAAAAUACAUAUACAAUCAGGGGCUCUAACACCAAAUCGGAGAAUCAAAUCUAAAACCUAAGGUGACUUUUCUUUCAUUUUUUCUUUACUAUUUUGAGUUUGUUUUUUACACAAAAAUACUAAAAAAAAUAACAAAACACAUAAAAACAUAUAUAUUAUUAAGCAAAAAAAAAGAAAAGAAAAUUUACCUUUUCCGGCCACCGUGCACGGUGGCCGACGCCGACGAGUCUCCGGUAACCGUCCGGCGACCGGACCCCUGGCCGGAGUCCCACCGAAAAUCGCCCUCUCCCUCUCCCUCUCCCUUUCUUUUCUUUUUUUUCCUUUCCCCAUCCCCAAAUGAAUUUUUUUUUAAUUUUUAACUUAUAUAGGGGACCAAAACGUCCCCCCCUUUAAUAAAUAAAACGACGUCGUUUUGGACGCGGGUCGGGUCGACCCAACCCGCACCAGGGCAGGAUCCGCGUGUUUCUUAGCGGAAGGGAAAUUUGCGUGCUCGGCCUUUCCGCUUUUCUGAGAUUUCACAAUUACGUUUUUUAUGUUUUGUAAUUCGGCCCUAGAAUUUUUCAUCGUUUUCAAUCUGGUCUCCGUGCUGCGCAACGUUUAGAUAGUUGGGAUUAUUUUCAAUUUUGGUCCCUCCAGGUUGCGCGUGCCUCACAUUUUGAUCCCUCCUCUUUGUUUCCUUUUUAAAUUGACCCCACAACAUUGUUUUUAAUUUAAUUUUAGUCCUUUUUCGUUAUUUUUAUUUCCUUAUUAAAUACUCUUAUUAUUUUUAUAUUAUUAAUUUUAUUAUGUAUUAGUUUAUGUUUUAUUAUACAAUUAUAUAUUUAUAAUAUGUAUACACGCUUAAUAUAUUUGUAUAUACUUAUAUAAUAUUAGUACUAAAAGUUUUUAUUUUAAUAUGUAUAUAUUACCUAAAUGUUUAAAAUUAUAUAUGUACGUAUAUUCUUCAUUAUGUUCUUAAUACUAUACUUUACAUAUAUCGUACAUUUUUGUUUCAAGUUUGCUUUCAUGUAUUGUUUAGUCAAAAUUGUUUUAUUACUCAUUUUAAAAUUGUUUCACAUACUUUGCUUUAAACAUUAUAUCUCUUUCAUAUUAUGCACGUCAUUUUUAACUCUAUAUUGUAUAUCACAAUCUCAUAUAUUAUGUAUGUACUUCUCAUAUUAUUAGUUAUGUAUAUAUUCUUUACAUUAUCUUAUGUACAUAUAUUUUUCAUAUUAUAUUAUAUACCUAUCCUUUUGAUACCAUGUUGUAUAUAUUUUCAAUACUAUAUUACAAAAAUUUUUACCAUAUUAUGUAUGUUAUGUAUAUACGUUUUAAUGUUUUUGUAUUAUCUUAUAUGUAUAUUUUAAUAACUAUAUGAGGUAUGUAUUUUUAACACCGUAUUAUGUACAUAACUUUCAACAUCAUUGUAUACACACUUUUUAAUACUAUGUUAUUUAUACGUUUUUAUAGGUAUCGUGUACAUGCUCUAAAUACCAUCAUGUAUAUAGUUUUUUAUUGUUACUAUUAUGUAUACAUAUAUAUAGUAUCAUUAAUAGUUCUAAUAUCAUGCUCCCAUCACUUUGCUAACUAUUAUUAUAUGUUUGUAUAUAUUAAUUCUUAUUUCGCGUUUAAUACUAUUGUUAACAUAUUUAAUAUCGCAUAUAUGGCCAUUGUUUUAAUAUUCUCGUCGUAUUUAUCAUUUAUUUCAACAUAUUUCUAGCCCUUCCAUUUGUUCACUUUUAUUUCAUAUCAAUUUUGCUUGGCAUUUCUUCGAAAAUCUUAUUCUCGUUUUCUAAUUAAUUUCAAUAAUCGAGGCAACAUAUCGACUUAACAUUAAGUCAUCGAGUUCAUCGCUAUGUUGGGUGAACGUCAAUUGACACGUGUUAAAGCGAUAUACCCUUCUCAAAAAACGGAAUAAACUAAAAUUUCUCGUUUUUUAAUCGGAUCACGACUAAAUUUUACAUUGAACCCGAAUUUUUAAAAAUCAAGACAACCUGUGUUUAUGAGAUACCAAUUUUUGGGCGUCGCGAGGGUGCUAAUACCUUCCUCGCGUGUAACCGACUCCCGAACCUUAAUUUUUCUCUGGCUUUUAACGUAGACCUAAACUCAGUCUUUUUCUCGUUUUUAAAGAAAAAAGAAAUUUAUUAGGUGUUCGAUCACACCUAGGAAAAAGGAUCGGUGGCGACUCCCCCUUUUAUUUCAAAAUCGAACUUCAGUUUCCAAACUUUUUCACUAGAUCGCCACAAUUAGCGACCCCGAAACCAAUUUUUACGUCGCUACAUUAUAAAUGAGACUAAAUAGAAAAUUUUCUAUUUUAAGAAGGCUCAAAGACCUUGCCAGCCUCCUUGACUUCACCAUUGAAAUCUAGAAUAUACUCCUCACUAUGCUUUGGAAAAUUAAAGAUUUGAAAUUAUAUUAUUGUGUAAUAGAUAUAAUUAAUUUUUAAAUAUAUAAAUAAAGUUAAAGUUAAAAUUAAAUCACUGUGAUAAAUUGUAUAGAAUAUAGAUGAUUUAAGACAUGAUGCAAAUAAAACAUAGUUAAAUAAUUAAUAUAUAGCAUGCCAUAAUAAUAAAGGUGAAUCUAGAGGGUUCACAGGGCUUGAUUCUCCUAAAAUAGAAAAUUAUUAUUUAGAUUUUUUUAAAAAAUUUAAAAUUUUAAAUUAAUAAAAAUAAAAUUGUACUUUGAUUUCCCUAAAAUUAUAAAUUUUUUAUUCAAUCCUUUUAAAAAUUAUAAAGAUAUAAACUAUUAAAAAUUAAAUUUUCAUUUGGCCCCCUAAAAAAAUAUUCUGGCUUCGCCCCUGCAUGAUAAUAAUAUUAAUACAACACAAAUACACAAAAAAAUCAAAAUCUAUACAUAACAAUUAUUUACUUGUAUAAUUUUAUAAUAUUUUGAAUACAAAGAAAUAACACAAACAAUUUUCUCUAAAUUGAAUCACUCAAAUAAAAUAUUUUAAAUAUCUCAUGAUUUUAAAAUAUACUAUAAGGAUAAUUUUUUAAAAAUAAUUUAUUAUGAUAAAUCAUAUAAAUUAAAUAAAGAAACAAUACUAAUCCAACAUAAAAGAAAUGUAAUAAUAAUAUCAUAAAAAAUAUGUUCUUAGUUAAUGAUUUAGUCUGUACUUUGAGAAUUAGAGAAAACUCGAGUUCGAGAUUCAAUUAUAUAUGAGAAAAGUAUUAACAACCUCACAAUAACUUAAUACAUGUUGUUUUAAAAUUUUGAACCCAGUAUUUAAAUAUGAUCCCGUAAAAUUUAAGAAUGCAUGAAAUUUAUUAAUUAAGUGAAUUUGAUUUUGGAAAUAAACAAAAUACUCAAUUUAAUUUUAUUAUAUUUUUUAAAAUUUACUCACAUUAUAACAUUAAGAACAACAAAUGAGAGCGUAUCCAGUAAUUUUGGCAACAAUCUCUUUAAUUUUCGUAAUGCUAAAAUAUUACCUUUUUUUUUAAAAUUAAAUCGAUGUAAAGAAAUUCAUAGGUGCAUUUUCAUAUAAAUAAUUGAAUUAUUCAAAAUUACAUGCAUUUAGAGAUAAAUAUUUUACCCAGCACUACGCUUGUUCGACUCGUAAAAGGCAAAAAUUAGGAUUCAAAAUUAAAUUAUAAUUUUUAUGAUAAUAAAAAUUACUUAGGACAUCAUGUUCUCAAAAACUCAAACCUUUAUCAACAUAGAAUUGAAUCGAAUAUCGUUUUCAUCUUCCCAAGUUUCUAUACAUAAACUAUGAACACGGAAUUAAACAAUACAAAAAUGGUAUUCUUCUUCCAUUGACAUUUGAUAUCAGCUUCAGAAAAGGCAAAAGACAAGAAUAAAGAGAUAAAACAAAAGAUUAAAUCAAUCCUAUAUCCUUGACUGACAUAAUUUACCUUAAAAACUCUAUACUUUAACCAAUCCCACCUAUAUGAUUUUUCUGUUUUCCUAUACAUAACUUAAAGCUUACUUGGAACCAAGUCAUUGUAUUGUAUUUCAUGUAAUUUUUUGAAGCAGAUCCUCAUCUCCUCCAUCUGCAUUGAAGGAAUAGAUGUCGACCGGGGCCACCGUGCAACCCAUGGCAUUCUGCUUGGUUCUUUUAUUACAAAAGGAGCCUCGGUGUUUGUCUAGAUAGAUUACAAUCACGGUGAUAUCGUCGUGAAAAUGGCGCCUUAUCCCCUUUUUUAUUUUCUUGAUGUCACUGUAUCUCAUCUCCCUUUUCUUUGCAACUUCUUGAAGUACAGCUCUUACCAAUCUCCUGGCAAUACCCUGCAAGCAUUCAAGCAAACAAAUAUCAAUAAUGAAAUGCAUUGCAUUUCCAUAGGUUUCAUUAGGUUAAUGGAAGAACACGAAUACUCACGGCUCUCGGGUUUUUGAAAACGAUGUUUACAGCAGCUUCAUCACUCAACUGCUCCCAUAGGCCGUCUGAUGCAAAGAUGAGGAAUUGAUCCUGUGGCUUAAGCUUUCUAAUAAGGAUCGUUCUGCUGUAAUAACCGGCCUUUUAAGAGGAACAGGGUUUCCGAACUGCUGGAAGAUCGGAUCUCUAUAAAACUCAGGUUUCUUCAGGUAAACAUCACCUAUAGAUCUUGACACCUGAAAUAAGAAAAACAAAAAUGGCUUAGACCAGCAUGAUCACUCACAUGCUCAAAGAUCAUGUAUUAAUCAAUCAUCUCCAGUUCUACAAUCCAAUGUAAGAUAAAAGCUAAUGCAUCUUAUUCUCUCGAUUCGUGAAUGGAUCGAAGUAAAAAGCUCAACUUGCCUACCAAAGUAAAGGGGAACAACAUCACAAAAAGAGAAGAAAAACAUAAAAACGAGAGAGCAUCGAUUCCUUGCAGUUACAUAAGCCUAGCUUUAUGCUUCAGGGGCCUGCAUUUGUCCAUCUCAUGCAUAUAAGGCAUACUAUAUGGAAAAUAGCAGCAUGAAACAGUACUGGAAAUCAGACCAAAAUAUUCUUGGAAAAGUCGAAAAACUCAGAAUUAUAACCAUUUUUUAGAAUGAACUUCCAUUCUAAUGCACAAUGUAUACAUCCAUAAUUAUACCUCUCCAUCAAGCAAAAAGAAACAAAAUGGUUGCAAGCAAUGCCUACGAAGAGGAAGUUAAUUGGCAACUAAUUCUAGAAUCAACAUAUUGAUCAUUUCUCAAGCAGACUAGUUUUGAACUAAACGAUUAUAAAUCAACUUGUCAAUAAAAUUGUACCUGGAUUAUGCCCUUAAUCUUCCAAACUCCGCGGGUGUAAACGACUAUAUGUGAGUCAUCUGGAUGAAGUUCCUCGACCUCCUUUCGAACUUCCUCGACUCCAACAUUAUGAUCAGUUGACAACCUCUCUGCCACUACUGUGUUUUCCUUAUCCCCCGAAGCUUUCCUGCCAAGAACAGCUCUCGAGUCACCGAGAUUCGCCACGUAUAACACAUCAUUCGAAAUUGCACCAACUAGACAGCAUGAUCCAACCGAAGCAAUUUGAGGCCUCACGGACAAUGAUCGCUUCACCAAACGCAAAAACUCCUCUUCAGUGGCAUUGAAUGCCUUCUUUAUCACAUCUGCAGAUAAUCCCCCUUGUUCUGUAGCAAAUUCUACAAUGAAUAAAGAAAAAAAAAUUUAAGGGUCUCCAUCAAUCUUUUUUAGAAUCCAAGUGCAUGCUUAUCACUGAAAAGUGUGCAAAACAAAGAAAAAUAAAUGACCUGAAAAAUGCCAAAACUUGAACUACACUUACUAAUUAUUCCGAAAAAUUCAAGUCCAGACAACCCCAAGUAGAUACAAAUUUAGACAAAUAGUUCAUAUUCUCUUUUCCCAUCAAAACAUAGUGCUACAUGACUGUGGAGCGGGGCAAGAUAGAUAUUGUCAAAUUCAUUACUGUUCCAUUGCUGGCAUGAUCUGCCUCGACCCCACUCUGCUUCGCCAUAAAUGUUAAAACUUGAAUAUCAUUACUUUUAAUAUGCAUAAUCUAUCAAUACCUCACCUAAUAUAUACAUUUUUACUCGUUUUAAAAGUUAAAUAUAUAAGAAUAGAGCAAAUAUCAAAAUUAAGUGCCCCAUUGGUCCCUCUUUUACUGUUAAAAAUUAGAAAAAGAAAGUCUAUUUGGAGUCAUCAGUUCGAAAUCUAUCAAACUAAAUACAUAUUUGAUGAUUCCAUAGACAACUUAUGAUUUUCCUGACAAGGUCAUAUCUAUAUACAUACAUGAUCACAUGUUCAUUCAUGUCAUACAUACAUAGGAAUGUUGAAAUAAAGAGGGAAAAAGGGAAUUACUGUGGAGAAAAGGGAAGAGAUGUUUGUUAACAAAACGGGAAGCUUCCGGACCGCCAUGACCAUCGUAGACGCCAACGUAGGUAGCAAAAGGAGAGGUGAAGACUUGGCUUUGAUCUUCGAGACAGUUGUUAGCCUGCACGACGGCGAUGGAGAAAUCACCGGAAGCGUGGGGUUUAAGGUCAGCGUGCCACAUGAGAGCAUCCCCACCAGCUCUAACGCCAAGACAACGUUCGAGCGGCCUGGAAAGGGACCGUAACAUCAUCAUCAUCGUGUUUAAAAAAUAAUAAUAAUCCCUUUAUAGGGGAUUUGAUUAAAUGAAAACCUUUUCGAUGGUUUCAAUGGGGGGUUUCACUUUGGGGGAGAGGAAAAUGGAAAGAUAUUAAGAGGGAAAGAGAGAGUAGAGAGUGGGGUAAAGUGAAUGGAAAAGAAAUGCCGCGUAAAGAGAGGCAGAUGAUGAUGACCAACGACCCCCGAUGCUUGCUGUAAUUACUUCCCACUCUACGCGUUAACCACCCUUUUUCUUCUUUUUUGACUUUUAAACCCAAAUCCUUUUCUUUUAUUUUUAAUUUAUUGAAUGGAGACACUUAGGUCUAAUUUAAUAUUUCAAUUUUUAAAGAAUCGUAUCAGUGAUUGAAUUAUGUAUCUACUUAUUCUCGAUUUAAUCGGUUAGUUUAGCUCAAUUUAGGCCUGUUCAGAUUAUUCAACUUAAAAAUUUGUUCGAAAAGUGAGAUGAUUUAGGUAAAAAUAUAUGUUUAAAAAAUAAAUUUUAAUAAAAAAAUAAGGUAUAUUUUUUAAAUAGAUUGAGUCUUAAUAUUUUUUUGUUCAGGCUCAACUUGAUCUGGCUCAAAUUUGUAAAAAAAAAAAAUGUUGUUACUUUGUCAUUGUUUUACUGUCAUUUCGCUAUUAUAUUAUUACUAUUUUAUUGUUUUUGUUUAGAUAUUGUAUAAUUAUUUUUUUAUUGUUGAUUUGGCUACUAUUUUAGAACCAUUUGCUUACUAAGUUGCACUUAUAUCUUGGUGUUAGUUAAGUAUAAAUAUCUUUUAAAAAUUUGUUUUCAAUUUAUUGGGAAACAUUUAUUGCUCCAACUGACCUAUGGAUAGCUCUAGUUCAAUCCUUUUGCCCGAAUUGAUAUAUCAAUUGAUUUAUUGGUUCAACUAAUUCGAUUAGUUGAUUUUAUUUGAUUUGAUUCAAAAACACUAAGUGUUAUUUCAAGUUUAACUUAAUUUAUAUUUGUGUUGAUAGUUUAAAUUAUUUUAAUUUUAAAUCAUUCAAAUUCAACACUUAAUUUUUUGGGUCAGAUCGUUUUAGGACUAUUUCAUAUUAUAAUUUUAUAAAAAGGAAGUUGAACUGAAUAAUAUUUAAGUUUUUGAGUUGAAAUUCAAAUCAAUGUUAUUAAAUUGGGUCAUAAUUAAUAGGUGUACUAGAAUCUAAUUACAAAUAUAUAUCUAUAAGAUAAAACCAAAAAUAAAGGAUUAACAUCUGACCAAGUAUUGACAAUGCAUUGUUAUCCACAAAUUUAAUUAGAUACAAAACAAGAUAAACACUGUAAUGUGAAUUUCGUAUGUUAACUUAACGGUUAGGAUAUUCAUCGCUUCAAAUGUGAUUUGGGAUUGAGUCACAUUAUCUCUAAUAUGUCCUCUACCAAAGAAAAUGGAGGACUAAAGUUUGAAAUCUUAUUUAGUAUUUACAGCCAUGAUCAAUUUCUCUUUAUGAUCUCCACCCAUACAAUAAAUGUGAAAAGUGUAGCAGUACGAAUACCAUGUUUUUAUAGGGGCCGCCAUUCAAGAAUAUAUUACUUCCUCUGAACCUGACACUAAGGCAUGGAUAGCAACUUACAAUGUAUCAAAUUAAACACUAAAAUUAAACUCAUAUAUCAAAUUGAGAUUUAAAAAAAAACACUCAAAUACAAAAUUUGACAUUAAAAUCAAACGCAAGUACCGAAAAAUAUAUUAAUCCAUAUUCAUAAACCUUUUUCUUUGUUUUUGCACCCGUCAAAAUUCCAAGACUUACAUAUCUCUAAUUAAGAGCAUCAUCAUUUACAAAAAUUAAAAAAUUAAUCCCUCUACUUUAAUUUGUUAUAAUUUGUCCCACGUAAGUUAUAACAACCGAAAAGUUAAUCUAAUUAAGUAAUAUUGUUAAACCUUAUCAUUGAAUUGUUUGUUUGGAAACCAGCAAUUUAACAACUUAUAUGCAACAAAUUAACAAAACUCAUUUGUUCAAGUUCAUGUUUUGAAUAACACCUGGACUAAAUUUCCAAUUUUCAUAUGCUACAAUGACUAAAUUUUGACAAAUUAAAGUAGAGGGACCAACUUCUCAAUUUUCAUAAAGUAGGGGAUGAAAAUCAUAAUUAGACCAUGUAUAUGUUCUAUCGUGUGAGUUGGGGCCUGUUUUAUAGUAUACUUCUACAGUAAGGACAGUCCCCACACGUUCUGAGCCAAGGAUCUAAGCAAGCAAAGUGAAACCUGUGCCCACACGGCAGCUGAGUAAGCACAUCUCCUUCUCCGAAGCUUUCAAGGCAUAUACUGCAAUCUCUUGAUUCCCUUGAUGUCUUCCUUUCAACAUUGAUGUCUUGGCUGCGGAAAAUUUCCAGCGGCAAACGGUCCAGAGCCUCCUGAGUAAGUCCAGGAGGCUUCUUGUUUGUUUCUCGUAACAAUUCGAAUCUUUCUGCUUCAGAGGUUAAUGGGGAACCCCUAGCUGCCAACCCUGUAGAGAGUUCACUUAUGAUCCUAAAAUCAUCGCGCGUUACAUGCUCCCGGUGGGAAGCAUUAGGUGGAGCUCUAUUGCUUCGCCUGAAGAAAACAACAGGAAGAAACCGUAAUGAGAGGGAAAAGAAAAGAUGUACAAAAUGUUUAAAUAGCGGUUAAUGCAGGACCUAACAUAUAUGUGUCCAUUAUUGAAUGCCACGUGCAAGUAAAAUUCAGGAUCGAGUGGUCCACAUGCUUCUCUCAAGCAGUAGAUGGUAGUUAGGAAACGAGUAACACUAAUUCGCUGUGUACAUGAAGUGGUACCAAAAGUGGUCUGGAUAGUCAUAGUGGCUAAUGAUGUUACUACUUAGAACCUAUGUUACUCAGAGUCAGGCAUGAGUUUCAGAUAUGGAUAUGUAUCCAGUACAGGUAUAAUUACUUUUUCUAAGUUUUUCCAUAUAUUUAAAAGAUCCUUGGAGGUCAUAUCCUCGUAUUUGUGUGUCAGACACGAGUGUCAAAUGAAGAGUCCGAGCAACAUAGCUUAGAACCACUAAUAUUACCAUAGAAUAGGAAGCACCAGCAGUGGGACUGGACCAUAUUGAUAGUUAGCAAUGCGAGAACAACAGGCACUAAUGGGCAGAAAGCACCAAUAACAGCAGUGGGCCUGGAAAUUAAGGUACUACUGGUAGGUAAGGAGUGACGAAAGCAAUAUCAGCUUGAAUGUAUAAGCAGAAGUGGGACAGAAAUUUCAAGCAUAAAAACAAAAAUUCAAUCUAUUCAAGAAUAUAUACAUAUAGAGCGAGAGAGAGACUAAAUUCAACUUAAACAUUUUCAAGGAAAAAAAGAAAAAGCCUGCCGAAAUAUGAUGAUUAUGUUAGGCAAUUCCAUAGAAGAAAGUUCAAAUUCACUAGUGACAACCCACCCAACUGACCAGCUGAAAAGUCCAUGGUAAGUUGGAAAAUAGUUUGGACCGAGUGAAAUUAGUCUCAACAUUAACUGGCUACAACCCCUAACAGCUCUACCAUAUGAUACGGUAUCUCUAUUCUUACUGCUAAACCAAGUCAGACUCCUAGUACCCCUAAUACAAGACUACAUAUUUAUCAUUUGGAUUCACUAAUAAUAAGGUAGCACAAUGAACUGCAAGGCACUGAUUCUUCCUACAGGUUACGAUGCAAAUUGCUCAUAUGAUAGACACUUCUUUUGAUCAUAUUGCACCCUCAAUAGAUCCACAAAAUCAAAGUUCAAGAGCAAAAUCAUUCUGAAUUUAGGUAAAACUUUCACAGACACAGAGCUCCACAUGACUUGUCUAUCCUAUCAUCAAACUUCAGAAAUAAGUAAUAGAGAAGAGAUGUGCUGUGCUGUGCUGUCUUUAAAAAAUGAAAUUUGUGACAGACCAAGAAUAGUGGGAUAAAUUUGGUCCAACUUGAGUAGCAAAACAAAUUGAGUGCCACAGGCAAGUUCACCAUCAAUGAUAAAAGUGGCUUCCAAUUGGUGUCAAAGAUCAUGCAGAUAAGAAAGAACAUGAUUCAAUAGCUAUUAUAAUUUACUUGUUCUUGCAGUUUGACCAGUAAUAAUGCUGUACAUAAUACAUGGACAAGAAAUGCAAAUACUAAAAGUUGCAAAUUUGCAGAGAGCUCUAGGUAACCUGUUUGCAGAAACAGACACGCCUCUUAGUCUUUCAACAAGCCUUGCUCUUGCAAGCAGCACAGCUCCAGGAAGCCUCUCAUUUGCUCUCAAACUUUGCCUGCUUGAACUGCUUACACCAUCUGCAUUUAAUCCAUAGCUCGAACUGAGCUCACCAGUACCUUCAUCAAACCCUUCUCUAGCAAGCCUCUCACUUGAUCUCAAACUUUGCCUUCUUGCAUUGCUUACACCGACUGCAUUUAACCCAUUGCUCGAUACAAGCUCGCUGGUACCUUCAUCAAACCGCACUGAUGAACGCUCCUGAAAAAGUAAUAUCCAAAUAUAAGCGAUUCAGGCAAGGAGAAAUAAAUUACAUAGACUAGGUAAUAAUAUCAAACUUCCUUGUUUAUUCUUGUAUAUGUGGCAAAAUCUUACUGCAAGUGAGCUUAGGCUUUGCUUGGUACCAAAGAUGGAAAGGAUGAACAUGGAAAAUUUGUUCAUCAAAUGUUAAGAUUCAUAUCCACCUUAUUACUUUGUAACUUAACCAUCAGAUAAACAAUUUUCCAAUUCACUCCUUUCCGUCGUUCAUAACAAGCAGAGCCUUAGGGUUUAGAAAAAUUGUCAAGAAAAUACCUAUUCUUCAGUAAUUUCACUGAUAAAUUUAGCUUAAAACUAAUAAUUUUCAGAGCAAAGUUCAGUAUUGAAGCAUAAAACAGACAACGAAUAAAGUACCAAUAAAUUGGUUGAAAAUCCAAUUCUUAAAUUAAAAAUAAAAAAAUAAAUAUAUUUUCCCUUCCAAAAAUAAUACUUAAUUCACCCCCAUUUUUCCUUUAAGUUCUCUUUUUUCUCAGCAAUAAAAUAAAAACAAAUACCUAACAAGAAAUAAAUAAUUUGAAAAAAAAAAGGUAAAAGAGAAAUUGAGCGCACAGAGAGCGAGGAAGCACGGGAGCUGAAGUGGCGCACGUGGGGAGACCGGCGGAGGGAAUCACCGCCGUCCAAAUCAUGCCUCUGAUUGUGAUGACUGAGAUGAUUCCGGCGAUGGUAAUUCCGUUCAAUUGAGGACCCAAUCCCUGAAUCCGGAUCGGGUCGACCCACUCUUGACCUUCGUGUGUAGAAUAACUCCGAAGCGCUUGUCAUCCAACUAAAACCCCCAAAUGGUGUUUUGAUCUGAUCUUACCAAUUAAAAUUUAUUUUUAAUUUCUCCAAAAAAAAUUUAAAUAAACAUGCAAAUUGUAAUUUGGAUUAAGAAAUAAAGGAAGAGAAGCUGAUGAACCCUACGAAGAAACGCGGGAGAAAUUCCUGCGAAUGAAAAUCGAUAGCCUUAGCUUCAAAGGAAAUGAAUGGAAAGGGAUGUGCGUUUUUUUAACCCUAAAUGGUUUAAUUCCGGUUUUAGUCCCCCUCCUAAGCUAAAAUGUAAUAUUUAAUCUUAUAUUUUAAUUUUAUAUACUUUCGUCUUUGAUAUUAAAGAAUAAUAUUUGAUACACCGCAAAUACAUUAUCAUCGAACAAUAACAUGAUACUUGAGUAUAAACAAAAUUAGUGAAAGAAUUAUCAAUAAAUAUUAACAAUUUUAUUUAGUUUUUUUUUUAUUUUUAAAUUUCACAUUUCGAAUUUUAGAUAUAUUUAAAUAAAAUUAUUAAUAUUUAUUUAUAAGUCAUUCAUUAUUUUUUAUUUCAUUAGCAUUGAGGUGUCGUGUUAUUAUUCAUUAAUGGUUGACGAUUUAUUUUUAUUAAUUUUUAUCAUUAUAACGAUGAUGUGAAAUCUUUUAUUGACAAUUUUGUUAUGGUCAAGGUAGCCAUAAUAUAUGUUUUUUAAUACAAAUUCUGGAUAAUAAUUAGUAAUAUUAAGAAAGUAAAAAAAUUAAAUCAUGUUAAAUUAAUCGAGGUUUAAGGGUGUAAAAGCUCUUCAAUUUUUUCAAAAAAGCAAUUAAGUCUUUACUUUUUUCACUCAAUUGAGUACUUUAACUUUUAAAAUGCAUAAAAAAGGACCUUCAAACUUUUUCAAAAAAAAUUAAGCCCCUACUUUUUUUUACACUCAAUUUGGCACUUGAACUUUCAAAAUAUAUAUAAAAAAAAACCUUCAAGCUUUUUCAAAAAAAGCAAUUAAGCCCAUACUUUUUUUUUACUCAGUUGAUUGGGUAAUUAAAUUGUCAAAAUGCAUAAAAAAUAACAUUUGAUUGUUAACUUUAACAGUUAACCGUUAAAAUUAACUGCCCCUAAUUUUUUUCAAUUAAAAUCAUCCCGUGUCACAACCACAACAUGACAUAUGACAAAACAAUUAUAAAAAAUAAAAAUCAAUACAAGUUAUAAAAAGUAUUAAACUUUAAUAAAAAUAUAAAAUUUAUUAAAAUUGUAAAAUUUUAUAAAAAUCAUAAAUAAUUAUAAAAUGUAUCAAAAAGGCCCUUUAACCAUCAAUUUUUACCGUUGACUGUUAAAGUUAACGACCCCCAAUUUUUUUCUAAUUAAAGUCAUCACGUAUCGUAAUACAGUGUGGCAUGUGGCAAAAAUGAUAAAAAAAAAUAAAGAACAAUUAAAGUUAUAGAAAAAUUAUAAAAUGCUUGUUUAAAAAUUAUAAAAUACUUCUUUUGGUACGAUAAUUUUUAUAUUUUUUUAUAAAUUUUAUAUUUCUUUACAUUUUUUUAUAAUUUUCUUACAAUUUUUAUAAUUGUUUAUGAUUUUUAUAAUUUUUUUUCUAAUUUUUAAUAUUUUUAUAUUUUUAUUAAAAUUUAAUGAUUUUUUAUAAAUUUUAUUUAUUUUUAAUUUUUAUCAUUGUUUUGCCACAUUUCACGCCAUGGUUGUGACACAAGAUAACUUUAACUGAAAAAAUUAGGGUCAGUUAACUUUAACGGUUUGAUUAUUAAAUUUAACAAUCAAAGGGUCUUUUUUUUAUGCCUUUUGGCAGUUCAAAUACCCAAUUUAGUGUAAAAAAAAUAAAGGUUUAAUUGAUUCUUUUUUUAAAAAAAAAGUUUGAGAGUCUUUUUUGUGCAUUUUGACAAUUCAAGUACCUAAUUGAGUAAAAAAAAAGAACAAGGGUUAAUUAAUUUUCUUGAAAAAAUCUUGAAGAUUUUUUACACCCUUAACCCAUUAAUCAACCAACUGUGUCAUUGAAAUUUGAUGAUUUGGGAAAAUAUCUUGUGAAUAUCAAUUAGAGAAAUUAAAUCUGAAUUUCAAUAUAUUAGAGGGACUAAACCCAGAAAUUUACCGUGAAAAAGAAAAGGUAUAUCUUUAUGUGUUAGUUGAAGGACUAGUAUUUAGAUGUAGCCACGCGUUAAACAAAGUGUUCCAUUACAUCAACAUAGAAUUUAUUUUCCUUCAAUAAGAUUUUUUGCGUUGACUGUUGACCAUGGAAAAACUAUAAAUCAAAUUAUUAAUUGAAAAUGAUAUAUAUUCCUUCAAUGAGAAUCUUUUUAUUACCUUAAGUCGAGAAUUUGAUUCUCACCUUGUAUAUGGAGUAGUUUUAGAACUCGUAACUUAAUAUCUACCUCUUAAUAGACCUACAGAAUAGAAAAGAUUAGUUACUAUCUAACUUCAAUAAAUACAUUGAAAAAUAAAAAAAAUCGAUAUUAAAUGAAAUAGACAUAAUAGAUUUCUAAAGUCAACUUUGGUCAAUAUAAAUAGAAAAACUAAAUGAAAUUUGGUUUAGGUAAAUUUUGGGUUCAGAUUAAAUUUAAAAUUUAGUUAAUUUUUAUUUAAGUUAAUUAAGUUUGAUUGUAAUUUUUGAAGGUUUGGUGAUUGGGAUUUAGAUUAUUUCGGGUUAUAAUUACUUUGAGUUUAAGACAUUUUAAGUUAUUUAUUCGGGUCAUGUCUAAUUAUUUAUUUGAAUUGUUUCAAGUUUGGAUUAAUUUGGGUCGAUUUCAUAUUUAGGUUAGACAAAUCAAUUUUCAAGAUAUGAACUAGAGUUGUCUAUAAGCCAAGUCACCUAGUCUGGCCCGAAGGCUCGUCGGCAAAUAGGAGGAUUUUAACAAAAAAAUAUAUGUCCAAAAAUGAGAUUGGACAAAAAAUAAGGCUCGUUUUAAAAAUGGGUCGAGCCUCGGGUAAGGUAUUUUUUUACCCUGGCCUGACCUAGAUUUUACAAUAAAAAAAUUGUUGUUUUGCUACCAUUUCACUAUUAUGUUGUUUCAAUUUGUUGAAAAAUAUUUAUUUUAAUAUUUUUUGUGUAUUAUAUUUUUAAUUUUUUUUUAUAUAAAAAAAUUAAUAGUGUCAGACCAUACCCGGGUUUUAGUAUUUUUAUCCAAGCCAGGCUUGGACAAAAAUUUAAGCUCAUUUUUUUGGGCCAAAUUGGGCCCAAAAAUUUAUCAGGACCAACCUAAUUCGACCAUGGACAAGUUUAUAAAAUAGCUAUUUAUAUAUAAAAAAAAAAUUGUCCAUGAGCUAUUUACUAUUUAGAGUAUUUAAAUAUGUCGAUUGAGAUUUAAUUCUUUUUAUUUUGAGAGGUGGAAUAAAAUAAUUCAAUUAAAGUGUAAUGAUGAUAUACCUAUAAUGCAUUAUAUGUCCCAUUCUUCUAUCUUUUUAGGGAGUCAAUGAUUAUUUAUAGCUAUUAUCUUUAUAUCAAAAAAACAAUUCGACUCAAUAAUUAACUACUUUUGCUAGAUUGAUUUUUGAUUAGAUUAAUAUGUUUUUAGUCAAUUUAAAUUUUAAAAAUUUUCAAAUUAUUUCAAUUUCGAUUAGUUUUAACUUUAGAUCAAUUCUUAUUCAAUUAUAUUUUAGACUCAGAAUUAAAUGGAUCGAAUUAUCAGAUUUAAUGAUUUGUAUGUAAAAUUUUAUUUAAAAUAUUUUAAAUACCACUCUAACACAAUUACAUAAUUCAUAGAUUAUAUAAUUUGAAAUUAUCAUUACACACCACCAUUGAUAAUUUCAGCUUGUAAGUCCUAAUAUUUUAUUCAAAUUUCAUAAAAACCCUUCCUUAUCUCCAUGACUAAUUUUGUUUGAUCAUCACAUAUUUGCAUGGGAAUAGUGGUCAUCAUGAACCGAAGACUCCGGUUUAUCAACACCGUCGACGCUUCGAACCCAGAAACUUGAACCGAAAGAAGCCGCCCGGUCCGGAACGUCAUCCAUCACCCAUUCAUGGCCUUUCGGGAAAUAUAUCCCACUCUUUGGAUGUGGAACCCAACUCGAUGAACUUUUUAUAUCGUCGUUACUCUUGCACUUCUUAUUGAUCUCCCGAUCUGCGCCUGCAAUUUUGCUCAAUGGUCGCUCAACGCGUUUUGCUUCCCUACACCCGAAUAAAGUUUCCAAAAGUCAAACAUAUUUAUUAAGUUCAUAAUGAUUUGCCUCUAAAUUUUGUACUUUUGUAUGGUUUUUUUUUGGUAAAAAUUUUAAUUUUUGGCUUUUCUAAAUACAAAACAAAUUUCAAAUUUCAUUUUUGACCAAACAAAAACAUCUCAAAAUCAUGGCUCAAACUUUAAAACGAUCCCUAAAUUUUAAAAUGUUCUAAUUGAAUCUUUAAAAAUAAAGUAUACCUAAAACACGUUUUAAAUAUGCUCUACAUCAAACAUAAACUAACAUUUAACACCCAGAUAGACAGCGAGAGUGACAAAAAAAACUUGGUUAAUACGAUACUAAUAUUUUUAGGACCCAAUUAAACCAUUUUAAAAUUUAAUGACUAAUUUAAAAUUCAUUCUAUAGAUUAAGAAAAUCUGUUGUAAUCAACCCAAAUAAUAACGACAACAUUACGUACCUUAGCAUCAAAAUCUUGGUUUUGGUAAAAGCAGCUCUUCCCAUGCAAUGCAGCUCUUUAAAACCCCUCAAAAAAGGACUCCAAUGCAAUUAUCUAGGACUUGAUCGUUUGUUUUAUAGAAUGCUUUCGAAAGUGCAGUUUUUGUACUUCAAAUUGUAUCCGAACGAAUGAAUAAAGGUUUGACGAAUAAGUUCGAUUGUGAAGGUCCUAAGAAAAUUAAAAUUUUAGAAUAUUAUAUUUCGGAAUUUCGUCUUUUUAUUUUAAGAAAUUUAAUCAUUUUAUAUUUUUCGGAUUUAAGUAUACAGGUCCAAUUAUUAUUAAAAGUGAUUCGACUAAAAAAUUAAAAAAUAUUUCGAAUUUCAAGUUAAUUGAAUUGAGUUAUUCGAUUUUUUCGAGUCAACUAGAAUAAGUAAUUCGAGUUCGAGUCGAGUUGAAUUUUACAAUUCGAAUAACAGAUUAAUGUGAAUACCCAUUUGAUCCCUGUCAAUUUUAAAAAUAGGUAAAUUUAUCUCUCAACAAAGUUUACAAAAAAAAAUCAAAAUAAUUUUCAAAAAAUUUUAAAUAUAAUUUUUAAAAUUCAGAAUAUUUAUAAAAUAUCAAAAUUGAUAUUUAAAAAAUUUAUAAAAAUUCUAAAUAUAAAAAAAAACUUAAUUUUUUUAAAAAUAAUAAUUUUUGGAAAAUUUAACUAUUUAAGUUUAUCAUACUAAAAUAUCUUCUUCUUUUUUUUCUUAUUAUGCUUUGAAAGAAUUUUCAAAUUUAUAUGUUCUAACAUUGAAUUAGUUAUAUUGUAACAAUAUUUUAAUUUGACAUUUUUUUUUAAUUUCACUUGAUUUGGAAAAUAUUCAAAUCGAGUUAGAAUGAUAAAAUGGGACUCGUCAACUCGAUUAACUCAAAAGUUUUUCACUUGAUUCGAUCGAAUGCUCACCCCAAACUAAUAUCAUAAAAAUUCUUUUGUUAAAUUUAGAUUCGUUACAAUAUUAAUUUUUUUAUUUUAUGACUAUCAAAUUUGUUUUUUUUUUCUUUUCAUUUCAAGGUGUCACAGUAAUGAAUUUAAUAGAAUAAUUUUAACAAUAUUAACAAUUAAUUUUUUUUUGACAUUUAAAAAAUAAAGAAACUAAAUUCUUAAAAAAAAAACCAAAUUUACGAAGAAUCAAAUUGGAAAAUAAAGAGAUAAAUAUAUAUUUUUUGGUGCUUAUGUUUAUCUUUGAUUUUAAUUUUGCUAUUUAUAUAUUUUUUUUUCAAAUUGGUACUUAUGUUGUUUUUAAAUUACACAAAAUGGUAUCAAAUUUAUUAUCUGACGUAUGGAAUGAUGAUGUCAUAAUAACAUUUGGGAAAUUAUAAAAAUUUAUAAAAAAUAUGUAUUAAAAAUUCAAAAUAUAAAAAAUUAUAAUGUUUGAUACCAAAUAAAAAUAACAUAAAAAUCAAUUUUUUUUAUAUAUUUUCAUAUUUUUAUAAAAAGAGUAUCAUUUUUUUAUGAAAAUAUAAAAUCAAUUAUUUUUAAUAAAAAUAACUUUUUUAUAAAUUUUAUUAAAAAUUUAUAUCAAAAUCAUGAAAAUAUUCAUCAAGUCACAAAAAAGAAUUACAAUUUCUUACCCGAAAUAUAUAUUUUAUAUUUCCAGAAUUUUUUAGAUUUUUUUUAUUUAAUUUUUGGAUAAUGACAUCAUCAUCAUCACAUAUUAAAUAAUUAUUGGACCACAAAAUAAAAGUUAGCAUCAUUUAACUUAGGUACCAUUCUGUGUAACAGUAGUCAAACGUGGGUACCAAUUUGAAAUAAAAAAAAGGACCAAAAUGAAUAUUAAGAUCAAAUACAUGUACUAAAGAAUAUAUUUAUUUUUUCAUUAAAAUAGUUUAAAUUAAAUUAUUAUUUUUUGAGAGAAGUCAAAAAUGAAAAUUUUCAUUUAAAAAGAAUUAAAAUAUUAAAUUUUAGGAGGGUCCAAGGAACCAAAGCCUCUAACUGCCGUUAGUUUGCCAUUGUCAUUAUCAAUUUACUCGCCCUGAGAGGAGUUUAGCGGCGAAGCUUGGGGAUAAUUUGUGGCCUUGACCCUCUUAAAUUUAAAUAAUUCAAUUUAAUCUCUUUCAGCCCAUUUAUUAAGGAGAGGUCAACUUCUUUAAGAAAAGUUUAUGAAGUAUGAUUCAUUAAAAGCUAGCGAACAUCCCAAUAAAUCGAUAUUAUUUCAAUUGAAUUUUUUAUCUCCCAAUUUUACGAAGAAUUAAUGGGUUCACAAAAUGAAUAUAUCUUAUUAGAUGUCUAAUAAGACAAAUCACAUACAUCGCAUCGCACUUGAUAUCAUAUACGACAUCGAAAAGCUAGUAUAUUACCACUUAAACUAAACACCUAUUUAUUAUGAAAUCUGUUGCUUCGAAUAAACGAGAAAUAACAAAUUUCUCCCGAAAAAAUCGGCCCCUAUCGUUUCCUCUUUUUCAAAAGUAAAUCUUAAUUCGCUCAGGUGAUUUGGAAUAUUGAGAUUUUUUUAGUGAAAAGAGUGGCAAGUUGGUGUGACACCUAAGGUCACUUUAACAUAUAGCUCUAAAUUCUAGAGACACUGUGAAUCGUUACUUCAGCAUAUGCCUCUUGUUUUUUUUCCUUCUUUCACCAGAAUAUAUUCAAUGCAAAGAACUUAUCUCUUACACAUUUGAUUGUUGGUUAAAUUCGAGUUUUAGUCCCUAUAUUAUACUUCCUUCCUGUUAUCGAUGUUAUACUUUAGUCUAAAUCCAUAAUAUCAACACAACUCCAAAUUCAUUAUAUCAUUUAAACAUUAAAAUUAUCUAUUUAACUUGUGAUUUAAAUAAAAAUUAAAUUAUGGUAUAACCACGAUGUGGAUAAAAAAUAAAAUUAUGUGUUAAUUAUAUUUGUAAAAGAAUGAAAUUUUAAUUAAAACGAUAAAGUUUAAAUUUACUUUAUAAUGCAAUGAUAUUUGAGUCAUUAUCCAAUUGAAUUAGUGCCUAAUAACUCGUAACACCAAUUUAAUUAAUUAUGCACAACAUUAAGUUUUAUUAUCUUUCUUUCUUUAAUAGAUUACAGUCAGUUACUUAAAAAAAUUACAGUUAAUUAUUAUUUUAUAAGGUAAACUAUCAAAAUAGUCAUUUUUGUUUCUCUCAUAUUACAUUUUGGUCACUUAUGUUUGAAAUGUUAAGUUUUAGUCACUUACAUUUAUCGUAUUAUAACAUUUUAGUCACCGAGCGUUUAUUGCCGUUAGCAAUAUAACAAUAAAGCUGAUGUGACACGUUAAAUCAUCAAUUCAAACGAAAAUUUUAAGUUAAAUUAUACAAUUGGUCCCUAUUUAUUUUGAGCAAUUUAUUUUUUUAUAUUCUUUGAAUUUUCUUUUUUCUUUUUUAUUUUCCGUUCUCUUCUGUUUCUCCCUCUAUUUUCUUCCAUUCCCUGUCUUUUUUAACGUAAAUUUUCUAUGUUUUUCAUUUCUUAAAAUUUAUCUAUUUUUUUUCUUUUAUGUACUUCUACGUUAAAAGAUAUGGAGAAGUGGUGAAAAUAGAGGGAGAAGUAGAAUAGAAUGAAAAAAAAAAAGAAAGCUAAAAGAACAUAAAAGUAAAAAUAUGGGGAUUAAUUGUAUAAUUUAAUUAUUUGAAAUGAUGAUUUAACAUGUCACAUCAGCUUACCGUUAACAACAAUUAACGGCUCAGUGACUAAAAUGUUACAACACAUUAACAUAAGUGACUGAAAUGUAACAAUUGAAACAUAAGUAACUGAAAUAUAAUAAUUGAAACAUAAGUGACUAUUUUAAUAAUUUAUCCUAUUUUAUAUUAUAUGAAAUAAUAUUAUAACUGCUAUUUAUUUUAAAAUAUUAAUUAAUAAAAUCACGUUUCUAACUUGGUAGUUAUAAACCAACGAAUUUAGGCAAUAAGAAACUAAUAUUUAGUAGAAAAGGGUAAUUAGCACCUCAAAGACAAAGCCAGUGAGUAUUUUUUUUUUUUAAUCGAAAGCUCCCUUCCAUAUAUAUUUUGAUUUUAUUUAAUUUCUUCGUAUUUAAAUAAUCAAUGGUUUGUCGAUUGAGUCUUAACUCUAUUGACAUAGACAUUAUUGUUAAUGUAGGAGGACGUGAGUUCGAAUGUACUAAAACGUAUUAUCCUCCUAUUUAUGAAUUGAAGAGAGACUAGAGCAGAUAUAAUGAGAACUUAUAAUGAAAUUGUUCAGAAAAUCAAACUCACUAUUGAAUAGGAGAUUAAAUAAUAUAAAAAAUAAAUAAAUAAUAAUAAUUAUUUCGAAAAUAUCUUACAAAAUAAAACAUAUCUUCAAAUCCCAACAAGAAGAAUAUAAAUAAUAUUUAGUUUGGUCAAUCACGAAAAGAACUUAGAUUUUAACAGAAUAUAUUAAUUUUUAAAAAUAAAAAAACCAAAUUUUUUUUAGAAUAUAAUUUUUUUUAAAAGGAAAGAAUAUUAAAAAGAAAACAAUUGUCAUAAUUGAACUACUCUUUAAAUAUGUCUGGUUAAAUUGAACUGUAUAUGACCAUGAGAUCUUUGGUCGAUUUUAAGAGGUCUCGAACAAUUUAGAAGGAGAAAUCAAAUCUUCUGUUACUUAUAAAGUUCACAUUAUUCGGUUUGCGCAAAUAAAGUUUAUAUGUUUAGUUGGACUUUGAAUGAUUACAAAAAAUUCAUUCAUAAAGUUUUAUCUCAUCAAGUGAUUUUUUAGAGAGAUGAUCAUGUAUUGUAAUACAUUUGAAGGAAUAAUUCGGAUUUGACCGUGCAUUAAAGUAAGUAUAGGGUUUUGUUUUUAUCUUAGUUAGAAUGAAAUAAAUAUAAAAUCAAAUAAUUAUAGUAUCAUAACAGUACAUCGUGCGAUUUGGAGACCCACAUAUAUAAUUGCGUGUAGUGAAUUUUGAAUUUGGGUACUUAAAGCUAAUAACUUAUUGAAAUAUAUGGGAUAAUUUACACCAAGAUGAUGUUUGAACAAAAAUUUAGAAGGAUGAGCAUUUGGUACACCGGUAGUGUACUCUUUUUAUUUAAUAAGUAGUCUUAAAAAUUGCCAUGUGUCUCUUUUUUUAAAUAUAUAUAUUAAUAUUUUAUUUUACCCUUAUAGGAUACUCGUCAACCUCUUGACGCUACUUGUGAAGUCUAAAAACUCUAUUGACAUUGUAUUUAGGGUGUAAUAAAAUAAUAAUUAAAUAAUUAAAAAUGACACUUAUAUCAUCUUAAACUCGCUUGUGGAGUUUUUUUUUUUUUUUACUAAUAAUUACCCAUAAUUUAAUAGAAUAAUAUUUAGUACAUUAUGAAAUUUUUAGACUGCACAAGCAAAAUUACGAGAUUGACAAAUGUCCUAUAUCUAAACUUUACAAAUAGGGUCAUGAGGUUAUAAUAGAAUUGAAUAGAGUUUUGAAUUAGGUGCAAUAGUACCUACAAAGCCAUAAAUGUUGCUUUGCAAAUUGGGGGUUUGGUUGGAAGGAGAUGCAUUAUACAUAUUGAGGAAACUUACUCAAAUGAGAAAGACGUAUCUCUUGAGACAAGCUAACCAACUUGUGCUCUACUAGUAUCCCGAUCUUUCUUUAACAGCUCAACUACUCAAGAUAUAUUUUUACUUUGAGUAAAGAAAUUUAUAAAUCAUAUGACCGCUAGAAAAAAAAAUGAGAAAAUCCGCCAACAACUCUCAUCACCUUUUAUCGCUAAGGUCUUAAAUAUAAGAUGUUGAGAUUUGUAAGAAGUUUUUUUUUUAAUAUUUUAUGUCUAGAUUAAUUUUGAUUUUAAUUUAUGAUUAAUUGUGUCUUAGGCCGUGUGAGCAUUCGAAAUAGGGAUAUACAGUCGUGUCCCAACCCGUAUGAGUAAAUUGACUUGGGUCACACGGCCUAAGACAUGGAUGUGUCUCACGGCCUGGUCACACAGUUCUGUGAUCCCUGCAGUGUUGAAAAUUUUAAGUUUCUGAUUUAGUCCCAAUUUGUUUCUAAUGUGUAUUUUGGACCUCGAGGGCUCGUAUAAGAGACAAUAUAUAUGAUUUUGAUCAGUUUUUGACAUGAAUGCUAUAUGAUAUAAAAUGUUUGCAUUUUCUGUCUAUUUGAUUUGUAAACUCCAGUAAUGCUCCGUAACUCUGUUCCGACGAUAGAUUCGGGUUAGGGGUAUUACAGUGUGGGCUCGAACCAAUUGAAUUGAAACACAGAACUAGAAAAAGUUUUCUCUCUUUUUGGGGUGAAAACGAAAAUUCUCUUUUCUUAAUAGAAAACGAUAGAAUUGUUAUUCCGGAAAAAUAUAGAUAAUAGUUAAGAAUAAACUCUGUAUUUUUUGAUAAAAAUAACGAUAUCUUAAAGUUGUCUAAAUAGCUCUAUCGGUGCCAUUUAUUUAUACGAGGAGAAAGUAAAACCUUUGAUGAGUUGUAAUGGUUUAUUUCAAAUAGAAAAAUAACUUCCUACUUAGAAUAGGAGACAUGUGUACAACACACCCUAGUAUUCCUAAAAGGUUGUCGCCCCCUUCAUGUCACAUGAGAGGUUUUAGGCCUCUCUUACAUCAGGUCCAAGUACGAGUACUUCUUAGGCCUUUUUAAUCUAGUACUCUGUAAUGUGAUCCAACUUGAUUCAGUUUUUCUAUUUUCUAAAAUAAACUUUAAUAUUUAUAUAUAAACAAAGUUCUCAUCCCUAUUUUAUCCCUACCAAAAUUUUGAUAAUUUUGCCUCUGGUAAAAUUUCGAGAAAAUAUGUUCAAUAUUUCACAACUCAACACGUUCACUAUAACCGAAUGGUUUAUUUUCACUUUCGGGCUUCAAAAUAGUCCAAAAAGAUAGACUCAUUCUUCCACUAUUUUUUAAGUAAUCCAUAUAGGAUUGCAAAUUUUUAUUUUUAUUUUUAUUUUUAUUUUCAUUGAAACCUACAUUCAUUUCCAAAUGAUUUCAUUUCUCCAUUUUGAAAAAUAACAUAAUCAUUCAUGAAUGUUUCCUAUUUCUCUUUUUCUAUUCAUUCCGUUCAUUUCUAUUCAAAGACACAAUUCAUAUCUGGAUUCAACAAGCUAACAAAGGGAUUGAUUGGAUAUAUGUAGUUGAAGAUCAAAAGAUUUAUAAUUAAGUUCCAGCUUUUUGUCUAUUAAUUAUAAACUCAUUUAGUCAAGAAGUCAUUCCACUAUAAUAUCGUAACUGAGCUCUCCUCAAUGACAUACCGUUAUGAAAGCAACUACACAGUACUUGUCCAAUAACCUUAUCAUAAAUGUGAUACCCUUAUAGGAUAUCAUAGAUCUUUUUAGGAUAAUAUUUGUUCUCCUAAUAUUAUAUUAUUUUAUAUAAUGGUAAUCAUUACAUCUUUCUUCAUGAAAAGUCAAUCACUAUCAAAUAGUGAUCAAGUCAUCUAUCAGAAAAAUGGACGACUUGUGACCACGUUUACUUUUCAUCAACCAUGUAAUGCCAAAGAGAGGAUAUCAUCUACCCAUGUAUGAAUGACGCUACAUACUAAAAAAAUUCGUACAUCCAACACACCAGCUUUUGGUUCCUUAUCUAUUUGAACUCAGGCUUUUACUUAUGUCAAAGUGUACAACUCACACAUACAUAAUCCACUAUCCACUCUGGAUUUAGGUAUGUCACACUAUGAACGUCACAAGUGAAUAAAUCCAUAAACGGAUUCAGGAUGUAUCCUGCUUUGGUUUUGUUCGAUGUACUGCUAGUCCAGUCAGUCACAUCUAUGUCUUUAUCUUUUGCGAGUCAUCCACUCUGAUGCUUAAGACAAGACAUCUCCAAAAUUGGACUUAAUAGACGACGUAUUAUCCUUUCAACCAGUUUGCUCAUUUUUCAUGUAAUACCUCGAAAAUUUCUAUAGUAAAAUAUUAUCCUUGAUAUAGAAAAAUAAGGAAAUAAGUGAUAAAAAGGGAAGUUUUGAGUUAUGACAACAUUGGCAAGUAAAUUAUGAUAUCUUGGUCCAGGAAAGGACUAAAAGUUUUGUUGCACAAGAGUAAAUACUCAAAAACUUGAGGGGUUAAAAGGUAAAUAUGAAAAAGUUUAAAGACCAAUAAUGCAAAUAUUUUAAGGGUGGAAUGAUAUAAAAACUAAGGAAAAUGGAUGAAUUAGGACCAAAUUAAAUAAGUAAAGAAUUAUGAGAGACUAAAUUAUAAUUUUAUCAAAUUAAAUGAUGACUCAAGGAUGAAAUUUUAAAACAUAAUCAAGGAUAAUAUGGUCAAUUAGAAGGAGAGAGAAAUCUAGAGACAAUGAUGAUGUUGGAGAUAUUUUAGAUAAAUUAAAUAAAUAAAUAUUAGUUUAUUAAUACUUUAAAUUGAUUUUUAAAUGAUAUUUGAUUAUUUAAUUAUUAUUUUAUUUAAUAUAUAUAUGUAAGGAAAGAAAGAAAAGGAUGAUCAUUUUUCCCAUGCACUAAUGUGCGAGAAAGAGAGAAAGAAAGGAACUUUUGUUUUCUUUACAAUUUGGUCCUUCUAUAAAAAAUUCAUCAUUUUCACCCAAAAAUCAAAAGAAUUUUCAUAGCUACCAAGAGAAAAAAAUGUUAAGGAGACUAUGGGAAGUUAGAAUAUCAAGUUGGAUUCAAGAAAUGGAAGCUGAAGGAGAGAGAAAAUCAAGAUGAAGAUUGAAAUCAAUAGAACAAGGUAAGAACAUCAUGAUUUCAAUAUAUUUUUAAGUUUGAUAUUAUUGAAAAAGCACGGAAUUGAUGUUAAUGUAGAGUUUUCUUAUAUAUGGACCUAUGUUCUUGACAUGUUAGUGAAGAGAAAAUAAGAGAAAGUAAUGAGAAAUAGUGUAGAGAAAGAAAA